Molecule: long non-coding RNA, 67094 nt
Filed under: Capsella rubella
Lineage: Eukaryota; Viridiplantae; Streptophyta; Magnoliopsida; Brassicales; Brassicaceae
Description: long non-coding RNA (CRUB_LNC002237)
Rfam family: Eukaryotic small subunit ribosomal RNA (bases 1-189)
Source: RNAcentral
GUUACAGUCGGGGGCAUUCGUAUUUCAUAGUCAGAGGUGAAAUUCUUGGAUUUAUGAAAGACGAACAACUGCGAAAGCAUUUGCCAAGGAUGUUUUCAUUAAUCAAGAACGAAAGUUGGGGGCUCGAAGACGAUCAGAUACCGUCCUUGAUAGACUCCUUGCCGUGGAUCUAUGCUCCAAGGACCACUUUGAUGGUUUUGAAAUGGAUGUGGCGAGAUUGAUGGUGAAUGAUGGAUAGAUGUUGAACAAAACAGCGGAAUGACGAUGAAUGAGGGUGAUGACGAGAUAGAGUGGAUGCNNNNNNNNNNNNNNNNNNNNNNNNNNNNNNNNNNNNNNNNNNNNNNNNNNNNNNNNNNNNNNNNNNNNNNNNNNNNNNNNNNNNNNNNNNNNNNNNNNNNUCCAAGAGGGAUGAGAAACUCUUAGACUACAAGCUUGGAUCCAACUUAGAUAUUACACACUAAGAAGAAAACAAGUUGAAAAGAUAUUACACACUUUUCGGAUCAAACAAGUAAAGAGAGAGUUUUAGAAUAAAAUGUUUGAUGUUUUGCAAAUGAGAGAUACAUGGAGUUUAUAUAGAGAAGGGAGGACGAAGGAGAGGAGAGAAGACAAGAGAAAACAUGCAAGAGCAUGCACAAGUGUCUUGUAAAUUACACUCAUGCAAGCUCAUACAAGAGUCUUGGAAAUAACAACAAGUAAUAAAUGCAAAGUUUGAAGAGAAAAGGGAAAAUGGGCCAAGGCUUUGUGAGUGGGCCUUGGACCACGAAUUGGAUUGAUAAAGGGGCUUGAAAAUGUUACUUAAGCCUCAUUAAAAACCUUGUCAAGAAAACCCAUUGGGACAAAACUUGACAAGGGAAAAAGAGUGCAUAAGCAACACUUAACCCUUUACCGAUCCUCUUGAGCCGUGAUCACUAUGAGUGAGGAUUGAACGACGUCUUCUUGAUUCUUGUUUAACUCCUUAAGUAAUCCAUUGAUGGCUUGGUUGAAAUUCUUGGCUCUUGAUCUUGUUAGAGGACCCGCUGGGACGAUCAAUGCUUCCUCCGGUACAAGCUGUUCUUCGUGUGGUUCAAGUGGGUUGGCCAUGAUCUCAUCAUCCUCUCCCACUUGAAAAGGAUUUGACCUCAAAUCCGAAUUAUCUGCAAAAUAAGGUUGAAGGUCAGAAACAUUGAAGCUACCAUUCACAUUAUACUUACCUUGUAGAUCGAGUUUGUAGGCGUUGUUGUUGAUCCGUUUAAGCACUUUGAACGGUCCAUCGAUUCUUGGCAUUAGCUUAGAUGAUCUUUCUUCCGGGAAACGUUCCUUCCUAAGAUGAACCCACACUUGAUCGCCUUCGUUGAAGAUGACUUCUUUUCGGCCUUUGUUCGCAUACUUCUCGUAAAGCUUCGUCCGGGCUUCAAGAUUUUCCUUAGUCUUCUUGUGAACCUGUUGCACUAAAUCGGCUUUCUUCUUGCCAUCGAGACUUGAUCUUACACUCAAAGGUAAAGGCAUUAGAUCCAAAGGAGAUGUGGGAUUGAACCCAUAAACAAUUUCAAAAGGAGAAAACUUAGUCGCGGAAUGCAUCGAAUGAUUAUAAGCAAAUUCAACAUGCGGCAAGCAAUCUUCCCAAGUUUUAAGGUUCUUUUUAAUGAGCACACGUAACAAAGUCGACAAGGUUCGAUUAACAACUUCAGUUUGACCAUCGGUUUGCGGAUGACAUGUAGUAGAGAAAAGCAAUUUAGUCCCUAACUUCGACCACAAAGUUUUCCAAAAAUAACUAAGGAACUUAGUAUCACGAUCAGAAACUAUGGUCUUAGGAAUGCCAUGCAAACGAACAACUUCUCUAAAGAACAAGCUAGCAACAUGAGAUGCAUCAUCGGUUUUAUGACAUGGAAUAAAAUGCGCCAUUUUAGAGAAGCGAUCAACAACCACAAAGAUAGAAUCCUUACCGGCCCUAGUCCUAGGCAAUCCUACCACAAAAUCCAUAGAUAUAUCAUUCCAAGGAUGCAAAGGAAUAGGUAAAGGGGUAUACAAACCGUGGGGUUGAACCUUAGCCUUAGCUUGCUUACAAGUCGCGCAACGUUCACAUAGUCGCUCGACAUCUCUUCUCAUGUGUGGCCAAUGGAAGUGUUCUUGCAUUACCUUGUACGUCUUAGAAACUCCAAAGUGUCUCAUUAAACCACCUCCAUGAGUUUCCCNNNNNNNNNNNNNNNNNNNNNNNNNNNNNNNNNNNNNNNNNNNNNNNNNNNNNNNNNNNNNNNNNNNNNNNNNNNNNNNNNNNNNNNNNNNNNNNNNNNNNNNNNNNNNNNNNNNNNNNNNNNNNNNNNNNNNNNNNNNNNNNNNNNNNNNNNNNNNNNNNNNNNNNNNNNNNNNNNNNNNNNNNNNNNNNNNNNNNNNNNNNNNNNNNNNNNNNNNNNNNNNNNNNNNNNNNNNNNNNNNNNNNNNNNNNNNNNNNNNNNNNNNNNNNNNNNNNNNNNNNNNNNNNNNNNNNNNNNNNNNNNNNNNNNNNNNNNNNNNNNNNNNNNNNNNNNNNNNNNNNNNNNNNNNNNNNNNNNNNNNNNNNNNNNNNNNNNNNNNNNNNNNNNNNNNNNNNNNNNNNNNNNNNNNNNNNNNNNNNNNNNNNNNNNNNNNNNNNNNNNNNNNNNNNNNNNNNNNNNNNNNNNNNNNNNNNNNNNNNNNNNNNNNNNNNNNNNNNNNNNNNNNNNNNNNNNNNNNNNNNNNNNNNNNNNNNNNNNNNNNNNNNNNNNNNNNNNNNNNNNNNNNNNNNNNNNNNNNNNNNNNNNNNNNNNNNNNNNNNNNNNNNNNNNNNNNNNNNNNNNNNNNNNNNNNNNNNNNNNNNNNNNNNNNNNNNNNNNNNNNNNNNNNNNNNNNNNNNNNNNNNNNNNNNNNNNNNNNNNNNNNGACAAAUCGUCGGUAAAAUCCCGCUAAACCGUGAAAGCUCCUUACUUCGCUCACAUUCUUAGGGCUCGGCCAUUCUCGAAUCGCCUUGACCUUUUCUUCAUCGACCUUGAUUCCAUAUGCACUUACAACAAAGCCUAGGAAAACAAGAUUAUCCGUGCAAAAGGUGCACUUCUUCAAGUUCGCAUAUAGCUUUUCCUUUCGAAGCAAAUCUAAAACAAGUUUAAGAUGCAUGACAUGAUCUUCCAAGUUUUUGCUAUAAACCAAGAUGUCAUCAAAAUAAACAACAACAAAUACUCCAAUAUGCUUCCUAAGGACAUGAUUCAUCAAUCUCAUGAAAGUGCUAGGUGCAUUUGUUAACCCAAACGGCAUAACUAACCAUUCAUACAAUCCUUGUUUCGUUUUAAAAGCCGUUUUCCAUUCAUCACCUUCCUUCAUCCGGAUUUGAUGAUAACCACUUUUAAGAUCAAUUUUUGAAAAGAUGCUAGAACCAUGCAAUUCAUCAAGCAUAUCAUCUAAUCAAGGAAUAGGGUGGCGAUACUUAACCGUGAUAUUAUUGAUGGCUCGGCAAUCCACGCACAUGCGCCAACUUCCAUCUUUCUUUGGUACAAGUAAAACCGGAACGGCACAUGGACUCAUGGUUUCACGAAUAUUACCCUUGUCCAUAAGCUCGUUCACUUGUUUCUCGAGUUCUUUUGUCUCGGUCNNNNNNNNNNNNNNNNNNNNNNNNNNNNNNNNNNNNNNNNNNNNNNNNNNNNNNNNNNNNNNNNNNNNNNNNNNNNNNNNNNNNNNNNNNNNNNNNNNNNNNNNNNNNNNNNNNNNNNNNNNNNNNNNNNNNNNNNNNNNNNNNUUACUCGGUAGCACCGGUUCGGGAUUAGUUGAACAAGUAAGAGUUUCUUUGAAAACAAAGAGUAAACUAUUUUUGUGAUUUACCUUGUUCUUACCCUUGGUAUCGUUUGGUUCGGUUGAUUUGAUGGCUCGUUGUUUCAUACUUAGCUGGUCUAAAUAGACUUCAUGCGGAGUCAUCGGGAUGAGAGUUGUCUUUCGGCCAUUGUGUUCGAAGGUCUGCCGGUUGGUGAAGCCAUCGUGAAGAACUCUUCGAUCCGAUUGCCAUGGUCGUCCGAGAAGAAUGUGACUAGCGUCCAUCGNNNNNNNNNNNNNNNNNNNNNNNNNNNNNNNNNNNNNNNNNNNNNNNNNNNNNNNNNNNNNNNNNNNNNNNNNNNNNNNNNNNNNNNNNNNNNNNNNNNNAAUGUCACACAUGAUCUCAUCUUGAUACUUCCCAAUUGAAAGAGGUACCUUGACUUGUUCUUUGACGGACAUCUCACCCGUGUCAUUGAGCCAUUGGAGUGAAUACGGUCUCGGGUGUUCAAGCACUUCUAAGCCAAGCUUCUCGACCAUACUCCUGCUCGCAACGUUAGUACAACUUCCACCAUCGAUAAUCAAACUACAUACCUUAUCUUUGACGAGGCAACGUGUAUGAAACAAAUUUUCCCUUUGCGCUUGUUCCUCGGCUUUAGUUAGAACACUCAACGAUCUUCUCGCAACAAGCAACUCUCCUUUAGUAGGGGCUUCCAUAUCUUCUUCUAUUGAGCCUUCUUCCGAACGAUCAUCUUCGGAUUCUACUUCGCCAUUCUCUCUAAGAACCAUGAUCCUUUUGUUGGAACAUUCGCUCGCGUAAUGCCCAAGUCCUUGACACUUAAAGCAUCGGAUAUCUCUAGCCCUCGUGAUUACUUCCUUACCCUUUGCUUUUGGAUCUAGAUCGACCUUUGGCUUGACGAACGGCUUGUAAUCCUUUUGAUAACCGAACUUCUCUUCCUUUUGAUAACUUGGCUUUCCCGUGCUGUAGCUGGUCUUGGUGUGACUUGAUCGGGCGUUCCUUCUCUUGAUUUGCUGCUCGAACAUAACCGCUUUGUGAAGCAUCUCCUCAAGCUCCACAUAAUGUUGAGUUUCUAGACGAUCUUGGAUUUCUCGGUUAAGACCUCCCAUGAAUCGAGACAUGACCGCUUCUCCAUCUUCUUGAAGAUCGGCUCUUAACAUAAGGGUUUCCAUUUCCUUAAAGUACUCCUCGACGGUCUUGCUUCCUUGAACCAAAUUCCUCAACCGCUGAUGUAGUUCUCGAUGAUAGUAACUUGGCACAAAUCUUUUUCGCAUGACGGCUUUAAGCUGGUUCCAUGUGUCGAUCGGAUAGUCUCUGGCACGUCUUCGGCUAGUGACAAGUUGAUCCCACCAACUUAGGGCAUAGUCGUAGAAUUCAGUAGCCGCAAUUUUAACCUUAUUGCACUCAAGACUUUCUUGACAAAGAAAGACCAACUCAAUUUUCUGCUCCCAUUCCAAAUAAGUAUCCGGGUUGUUGGUUCCAUGGAAUGCGGGAAUUUUGAGCUUUAGACCACCCAAAGGAUCUCUAGGUGGUGCUCUCUCUCGGCGACGCCUACGUUGGCUGCUGUGGGAAGAGGCGUGACUAUAGUAACUCCUUGCCUCAUCAUUUUGCCUUGGUUCUUCAUGCCGUGGUUCUUCUUUCCUUUGACGUUGAUUUGGUUCCGGGUUGACUUGAUGCAAGUGUAGAGCACCAAUCUUUUCCUCAAUCAUCGUUGCCAUGGCGGUGGUGACUGAUUCCAAAAUCCUCUUCUCAAGACUAGAUGUGGAUGACUCUUCUUCUUCUUCGCUUGUCACCAUUGUACCUGAAAAAUCAAAACUUUAACAAGUAAACAGUCCAAUAACAGACAAAUUUAAACGGAUCUGGAAAAAUAGUAAAUUGACUCUAAAAAUUCUGAAAUUAAUUUUAGAAAACAAUAGACUCUUCACUGGUUCUAACGCAAUAGGUUUCACAAUUUUUGAACAAGCCAAUUAUUUUAUAAAAUUCACGCAAUAUUGAAACAAAAUCAGAAAAACGGAAAUUUCGGGAUGGAACUUCAAAACCUGGUUACAAAGUGGCUCUGAUACCACAUGAUAGACUCCUUGCCGUGGAUCUAUGCUCCAAGGACCACUUUGAUGGUUUUGAAAAGGAUGUGGCGAGAUUGAUGGUGAACGAUGGAUAGAUCUUGAACAAAACAGCGGAAUGACGAUGAAUGAGGGUGAUGACGAGAUAGAGUGGACGCAGCGGAAAGAAGGGGAGAAUGAGGUGUACUUCCAAGAGGGAUGAGAAACUCUUAGACUACAAGCUUGGAUCCAACUUAGAUAUUACACACUAAGAAGAAAACAAGUUGAAAAGAUAUUACACACUUUUCGGAUCAAACAAGUAAAGAGAGAGUUUUAGAAUAAAAUGUUUGAUGUUUUGCAAAUGAGAGAUACAUGGAGUUUAUAUAGAGAAAGGAGGACGAAGGAGAGGAGAGAAGACAAGAGAAAACAUGCAAGAGCAUGCACAAGUGUCUUGUAAAUUACACUCAUGCAAGCUCAUAUAAGAGUCUUGGAAAUAACAACAAGUAAUAAAUGCAAAGUUUGAAGAGAAAAGGGAAAAUGGGCCAAGGCUUUGUGAGUGGGCCUUGGACCACGAAUUGGAUUGAUAAAGGGGCUUGAAAAUGUUACUUAAGCCUCAUUAAAAACCUUGUCAAGAAAACCCAUUGGGACAAAACUUGACAAGGGAAAAAGAGUGCAUAAGCAACACUUAACCCUUUACCGAUCCUCUUGAGCCGUGAUCACUAUGAGUGAGGAUUGAACGACGUCUUCUUGAUUCUUGUUUAACUCCUUAAGUAAUCCAUUGAUGGCUUGGUUGAAAUUCUUGGCUCUUGAUCUUGUUAGAGGACCCGCUGGGACGAUCAAUGCUUCCUCCGGUACAAGCUGUUCUUCGUGUGGUUCAAGUGGGUUGGCCAUGAUCUCAUCAGUUGCAUUUUUACAUUUAUUUCGGGCUUAGGGCUAGCUGAAAGACUCUUAUAAAGUCCCCCUGCAGCAGUUGUACGAGUUUUUGACCCUAUUAUCAAUAAAGAAACCAAAUUUUCUUCCUUUUUCUCCUUAAGUGUUCUUAAGAAAAAAGCUUGUUCUUUGUCUUGUGUGUGUGAUUCCACAAGGCUGAGUUCGUGUACUGUAUCAGAGACUAAUCACAUCUCUGUGGUGUACUUCAAUCCGCCAGCACCUCCCCUUCAAUCGAUCCCACACGAGAGAAGCGACCGCCAUCGUGUCAGAGCUACAUCAACGACCAUCUUUCCUUCACAAGAGAGAAGUGACCGCCAUCUUGUGAAGCCAUCCUAUCUAUCCUACUAUGCUCCAAGGACCACUUUGAUGGUUUUGAAAAGGAUGUGGCGAGAUUGAUGGUGAACGAUGGAUAGAUCUUGAACUUCUUUUGAUAGUUUUUAUUUCCAGUUUUGUUUUCUUUUAUUUAAAAAAAAAAAAACAAAAAUUAAGAACCCUAGUUUGCUGUAGCCUUGUUUCUAUAGGAUGUUUAGUUUUAUUUUUCCUUAACAAAAAAAAAAAAAAUUCGUCACUAUUCUUUCCUUAAAUCGUCUGCUUCAGUCUUUGAUUUAGUUUCUGUACUAGUUCAAGGUUUUCGUCAGAAAAAAAAAUUAUUUCUUUUUAAAAUUUUGUUUCAUUAUCUUUGUUAGCUAGUAUUGUUUAAGUAUCUUAAAGUUUAUUUACAUUAAAAAAAAAAAGAGUUUUCAAUUUCUUGUCUAAUUCAGCAUGUGCAUCAGUUUCUUGCUUCUAAAGUUUUCAUUUUCGAUUUUUGUGGUACGUUGAUUUUCUUUGUUGUUUUUGUUUAAGAGCCGGAUACUUUUAGACACUCAUAAUGGGAGAACACGCAGCCAUACCCCAAGAUGCCAUGAUGCAAAUGAUGCAAACCCUAUCGAAACAACUAGAAGGGUUUGGCGAAAGGAUAGGUUGUUUGGAGCAGCCUCAGCACAGAGCUGAAGCUGAACCAGUUCGGGUUCGAAAGGAACGUCCGUGAAGAGGAAGAAGACUCCUUUGACCUGGAUGACGAAGAUGAUCCACCACCUGAUCCAUUAAGGCGUCACCAUCAGCAGAGAGAAGAUCCCUUGAUGAGGAACCGCGCUCGAGAGGUGGACACACGUGACCAGAACCGAGAUGUUAAACUAACCCCUCCUACUUUUGUAGGAAAAUCAAGCGUAAGAUGUCUCUGAGCAAUCGUACCAGAAGUAGUACACCUUGGAAUGCAAGUAACAACCGAGGCAUGGACAAAGACAAAGCUAUAGACAACGAUUCCCGAUUCAAGAAUAAGUCUAGUGAAGCGCCUAAGAUCACCAAGGUAGGGGACACAUGGCGAGAGAAUGUCCGAACCAACGAGUGAUGAUUCUCACUUGUUGGAUAAAGGGUACAUCAGAGAGAGCCUUAGCCCGUGUGAUGUACCAGUUCUCUUGGUACCAAAGAAGGAUGGCACAUGGAGGAUGUGUGUAGACUGCCGAGCAAUCAACAACAUCACCAUCAUAUACCGACAUCCUAUUCCGAGGCUAGACGACAUGUUGGACGAGCUAAGUGGUGCAAUCAUCUUCUCCAAAUUUAACUUACGAAACGGCUAUCACCAAGUCCGAAUGAGAGAAGGCGACGAGUGGAAGACCGUAUUCAAGACCAAGCAAGGUCUCUAUGAAUGGCUCGUUAUGCCAUUCGGGCUAAACAAUGCACCAAGCACCUUCAUGCGAUUGAUGAACCAGGUUCUAAGGUCAUUUAUUGGUAAAAUUUUUUGUUGUCUACUUUGAUGACAUACUUAUUUACAGUAAAUGCUAUUCUGAUCAUACUAAGCACUUAGAGUUAAUUCUGAAAACCCUUCGGAAGGAAGGCCUUUAUGCUAACCUAAAGAAGUGCUCAUUUUGUACUGACAAGUGUGUGUUCCUAGGUUUUGUAGUGAGUAAAAAUGGCCUACAAGUAGAUGAAGAAAAGAUCAAGGCGAUCCACGAAUGGCAUACUCCAGCAUCUAUUGGAUAUGUUCGCAGUUUUCAUGGACUAGCAAGCUUCUACAAGAGGUUUGUCAGAGACUUCAGCGCAGUGGCUGCACCAAUGACUACUGUAAUCAAGAAAAAUGUACCAUUCUCAUGAGGAGAAGCCCAAUAACAGUCAUUCAACACGCUAAAACAGAGGCUCACACAAGCACCAGUUUUAGCACUUCCAGAUUUUGAAGUUAUGUUUGAAGUGGAGUGUGAUGCAUCAGGUUUGGGAAUUGGAGCUGUACUACAUCAGAGGAAAAGACCAGUCGCGUUUUCAGUGAAAAGUUAAGAGGAGCAGCAUUGAACUACUCGACCUACGACAAAGAUCUUUAUGCCUUAGUACAAGCACUUGAGACAUGGCAACACAACUUGUUGUCCAAGGAAUUCAUCAUUCACACCGACCAUGAAACUCUGAAGCAUAUCAAGGGUCAGACUUUGCUCAAGAGGAGACAUGCAAAGUGGUUGGAGUUCAUCGAGACGUUCCCAUAUGUGAUCAAGUACAAGAAGGGAAAGGAGAACGUGGUAGCUGAUGCUUUGUCGAGGAGACAUGCCCUUAUAGCUACAAUGGAGGCUAAAGUAAUGGGUUUUGAGCACAUCAAGGAGUUGUACAAGGAUGAUCCAGAAUUAGGAGAGUGCUACAAAGAGCUUGGCAAAGGAGCUUAUCAAGCAUUCUACUUGCAAGAUGGGUUCUUGUUCAAAGACACGCGGUUGUGCAUCCCUCAAGGUUCAAUGCGAGAGUUGAUACUCACUGAAGCACAUUGUGGAGGGUUGAUGGGUCACUUUGGUGUUGAAAAAACCUUGGCAAUGGUCAUGGAUCAUUUCUUUUGGCCCCAUCUCAAGAAGGACGUGGAGAGAUUUUGUUCUCGAUGCAUUGUUUGCCAGAAGGCAAAAUCCAUGUUACAUCCUCAUGGUCUAUAUUUACCAUUACCUAUUCCUAAUGCCCCUUGGGUAAAUAUUUCUAUAGAAUUUGUCUUAGGAUUGCCUAAGAUUAGACACAAGGAUUCAAUCUUUGUCGUCUUGGACCGGUUCUCCAAGAUGGCACACUUCAUCCCAUGUGACAAGACCAAUGACGCAACUCAAACCGCGGAUUUGUUCUUCAAGGAAGUGGUGCGCCUCCAUGGUAUCCCGAGGACCAUGGUCUCCGAUCGUGACACCAAGUUCUUGAGUCACUUUUGGAAGACACUUUGGAGAAAGUUAGGUAGCAAGCUUCUAUUCUCUACAACUUGUAAUCCUCAAACGGAUGGACAAACCAAAGUGGUAAACCGAACUCUCUCAACUUUACUUAGAGCCACUCUUGGUAGGAAUAUAGCUAGAUGGCUUGAUUGCAUUCCUUAUAUUGAGUUUGCUUAUAAUCGUGCCGUUCACUCGGCUACAAAACUAUCUCCCUUCGAGAUAGUCUAUGGAACUAACCCUUUAUCUCCCAUAGAUUUAGCACCUUUACCUCAGAUCAUAAAGAAGUUGCAUGAAAAAGCAAGAGGCAACUUGGAGAAGAAGGCCGUCGACAACAAACGCAAAGCUAAUCGAGGAAGAAAAGAAGUGUUAUUUGAACCAGGAGAUUGGGUCUGGUUAUAUAUGAGGCCUGAGAGGUUUUCAACACAAAGAGCAUCCAAGCUAUCACCAAGAGGCGACGGUCCUUUCAGGAUCCUCGAGCAACGGAAUAAUAUUUUAGAUGUUAUUUUAAGAAUUUUGCUAAAUGUAUUUAUAAUUUUAAAUUUAUACUUGUCUGCUUAUGAUCCAGGAGAUUCAGUUUUGAGGGCAAAACCUUUUGAAGAGGGAGGGAAUGAUGCGGACAUCGAUUAUCCUGUCCAACCCGCUGAACUAGAUCAAGUACCAGAUCCUGUACCACACCAUGUACCAGUCGUCCCAAUAGGUCCCAUGACUCGUUCAAAGUCUAAACAACUUAGAAAGAGGUUCAACCUAGCUGUACAAGAGAUUGUGAGCUCACUAGAGCUGAACUACGUCAACUGGUCUGUACCACCUUUAAUCCAUCACGAAGGUUAUGAUCCCAUCGCCGAGGAAGAGCUUGCUGAAGCAUUCAUCCAAAUGAGUCUUGAACAUACCAUUUCCCCAGGUAUGAAUUCUCCUUUGACAGGUCAAGAAACCUCUAGAAUCCAAGAGAAGACAAUGGAGUCACAAGAUACGAGCAAAACAAGCUUCACCUUCGAGAGUGAUCGAGAGAGUGAAGAUUAAGAACAAGACAUCAAGGACUUGGAAGAGCUUCAAGAGACUGAUCAAGCUACCCAAGAGAAACUCCAAGAAGCCAUCUACUUCAAGAAACCAACAAACAAACAGGCACCUGACAAGACCCCUGAAGUAGAUCAAGACGUAGUUCAGAGAACAUCGACUGGGCCUAGAUCGCAUCCAGGUAAGUUCUAUUCAAUAUUUUCGAUAAUUGCAGGUCCAUUAAGUCCCAACAACGCCUAGAAGACGUGUUCAUCACGAGAUUUCAAGUUUGCUUUAGUAUUUUACUUAUUUUCUUUCCAAAAACAAUGGCUUUGUAUUUGUAGUUUUAUUUGUUUCCUUUGUUGCUUUUUUACAUUUAUUUCGGCCUUAGGGCUAGCUGAAGGACUCUUAUAAAGUCCCCGUGCAGCAGUUGUACAAGUUUUUGACCCUAUUAUCAAUAAAGAAACCGAAUUUUCUUCCUUUUUCUCCUUAAGUGUUCUUAAGAAAAAAGCUUGUUCUUUGUCUUGUGUGUGUGAUUCCACAAGGCUGAGUUCGUGUAAUAUAUCAGAGACUAAUCACAUCUCUGUGGUGUACUUCAAUCCGCUAGCACCUCACCUUCAAUCGAUCCCACAUGAGAGAAGCGACCGCCAUCGUGUCAGAUCUACAUCAACGACCAUCUUUCCUUCACAAGGGAGAAGCGACCACCAUCUUGUGAAGCCAUCCUAUCUAUCCUAUUACAAGCUCACCACCGAGUCUUGUAUCAUAUUCUAACAAAACAUAUGUUGUAGCAAAUUAUGUAACACCACGACCGUCACCUCUUCAGUGGGUCUCACAUUCACCAAUAGUCCUUGGGCCCACCUCUCUUAAUGGCCUUACGUCCUCUCACUAGGCCCAUGGGCCUAUUAAUAUACGAAGGCCGAUUUGCUACGUCCAUGAGCCUUAAAGUAUUGGUUACCGACCCUACAAAUCACCACAUGAUCUCUCAUGUGAUUUGGCCUUACUCACACAGUUCCACUUUUUGGAAGGUCUCCUAUUCUUUUACUACUCCAGGAUAAGCACGCUUAUUGUGAAGUUCUUUCAGGACCCUUGACCAAAAAGAUAAGUGCAAUUUGGUGACAUAGGUGGCCAAAUUAAUUUAUUUAAACUUCUCCGCACACAGGGGUCUCACACACUAGCUAAACUCUUGAAAGAUUUAAUUUAUUACUCAAACCAAAGAAUUUUGGGUUCUUGGAUCAAAAACAGAGAAUACUAUUUUGACCAUUAUUUUUUAGUAAGACAAAAAUAUUGUUUUAAGACUUUUGCUAAGUUUAUUUCACGAAAAAACUUACAUUGAAAUCAGUAUAUGCAAUUUAAAUUUAAUUCAGUAUAUGCUAUAUAAAUUUGAAUAUUAGCCAAAGCAUUCGUUGUAGCACACUGGCUAAUGUUUUGAAAUAUCUUUUUGAUAUCUCUAACGAUGGAAUUCCGGGUUCGAAGGUCGACAACAAAGAUUACUAUUUUAACUAUUAAUAAUUUUGCUAAAUUUAUUUAUAAUUUUCAAUUUAUACUAAAAUAAGAAUUCCACAAUAAAACUUAAAUAUAAAUCUGUAUGUGCCAUAUAAAAAUAAAUUUUAGCAAAGCAUCCGUUGUACCACACUAGGUAAUGUCUUGAAAUAUCUUAAUUACUACUCAAACCAAACAAAUUUCUGGUUCGAAGUCUGACAACAUUGAAUACUAUUUUCACUAUUAUCUUAAGACUUUUGCUAAGAUUAUUUAUGUAACGCCCGUGUUCUGGAAAAUAAUAGGAGACUAGAUUGUGUAUAAGAAUUAGGGUGGAGUCGGUUUAAUUCCGGUUGAUUUCCUAAAGUGGUCGAUUUGUCAAUUGAAUCAAAGGAGGUUUAAUUAAUGUCGGUUUAGGUAAAUCAUGGUUUAACCAGAUUAAACCAAAAACCCUAACUUUUAUAAGGAGCGCUUCUUCUCUCUUUUGUUUUGUCGCUGUUGUUUCUGAGAGUUGAGUUGAGAAAAGGAGAAGGAGAAGUUUACUUGUGAGAAGGAGAUUGUUAGCUUUGCUUUGGUGUUUAAGGCAAGAGAAGCAGUUUCGUCACGUCCUGGUAGAAUAGAGUUACGACGUAUCAAAUCUUAUCGAAAGGUAAUGAAUUUUGGUAGGUUUGUUCUUAAGGCGUGUACGUUGAUUCUCCUUUUUACAGAAGUGAAUUCGGAUUAAUACUCAGUGAGUUAUAUGCAGUUUGGUGAGACGCGUUUUCUCUGUUGCGAACUGGGAUCAGCAGAGUUUGUAAGUGCGAUCGUGGUUUCAUCGUUUGUCCGAUCGGCAUCAAAUUUAGUACGAAGCUUGGUGACGUCUGGGUCUUGCUUUUCACCAUAGGGAUUAAGACGUUAACGGGCGUUGUUUGGUUUUUGCAGUUGCGAGGAGAGUCUUUCCUGGUUGUAUUUGUUAUUCAAAUCACCUUGUUAAGGUGAGUGCGUGACCAUGAGCUUAUCUAAGCCAUUGGGAUUGAAUGACUUGUUUGUGAUGAUUUGUAGGUGAAAUGGAAGUUUUAUUGGAUGUUUAGCUUGUUGAAUGGUUUGUUUAUGUUAUAUAUGUGGGUGUUAUCUCAUAGCUUGUGUGUAUAGCUCGUAGAUGGGAGGAUCGCUCUCACUGAGUAUUUGUGAUAAUACUCACGCAUCUCAUUGUGUUUGUGGUGCAGGUAAAUUGUGAUCCGUGGAAUCAUAGCGAGGAGAGGAGGAUGAUCUAGGGUCUCGGUUGUUAUGUUUAUGAAUAUGUUAAUUGUUGUUGGAACCUGGUUUAGAGGCAUGCUAGGUUGCUGGUGUAAAUUGUGGUUAUUGAAUGAUUGAUUAAUUAAUAUUAUGAUUAAUUGAUGUUGGUUUAAUAUGUUUCCGCUGUGCAUGAUGAUUUAUUGUUGGGUUAAUUAGUAGGUAUGGGACUAUUAUUUAAUGAAUUAAAAAAAACGGGUCGGGUCUUUUCAAUUUGGUAUCAGAGCCCUUACGGUUCUAGGGCAAGAGUAAAUUGGUUAUUUUUAAUGUGAUGUGUGAAUUUCGUUGAUGGAAAAUGAUGAUGUGGAUUGCAUGCUGAUUGAUUUGUGUGUUUAAUCAAUUGUGUGAGCAUGGAGACCUAGAUCAUCCUCUCGAGCCUUCAAUGAGAUUCCACGAUAAGUUGUGAUGUUUUGUCUUUUCUCUAGUCAUCUGUUUUCCUAGUUUCUGCUCGUGGCAGUGUGGGAGGCUAGAGGUUGCGAGCGUGGUGCUCAAAGUAGUUCUGUGGUUGUGGUGGUUGUAGUCCGGAGCGCGGGUCUUCGGUGGUGUUUUGUUGGAAAUGGAUUUCCAAGAAGUUAAGUUGGAGACUGUUAUGUAAUACCCUGAGUGACGGGAUGAUUUUAUGUUGUACUUGGAUUAUGUGAAUAUUUCUUGGAUUUGACUUGUUGUGUCAUGUGUAAGAGAAAUAUGUGCGAGUUUCUAAAAAUAGAAAGUGUCGGGUUGGAGACUGUUAUGUAAUACCCUGAGUGACGGGAUGGUUUGCGAGUUGACUUGAAGAAUAGUCAUGGUAGAGAUGAUAUUCCAGGUGGGAAUAUUGUUUGGUAGGUAUGACAUUGUGAUGUUGUACUUGGAUUAUGUGAGUAUUUCUUGGAUUUGACUUGUUGUGUCAUGUGUAAGAGAAAUAUGUGUGAGUUUCUAAAAAUAGAAAGUGUUGGGUUUGACGGUUCUAUUUUUGGAAAUUCUCGGGGUGGUGGUUAGUAUAGCAUUGCGAUGCUAUAAGUGGACCACAGGAGGUAUAUCUGAUCGAGAGAUAUGCUCGGGGGCGUUUAUACUUAUUUGCUCGGAUAUGAUGUGAUGGCCUCGGAUGACGAUUCGAGUGCACGCUUGAGGGUGACGACCCGAGAGCGAGCAUGAGACUUCCCGGAUACCGUAGCUAGAAGGCGGGUGGCCUAAUAGUGAGCCGGUAUGACUUGAGGGUUGCGACCUGAGAGCGGGGGGAGUGGUGAGACUUCCUGGAUACCGUAGUCUAAGGCUGAGGCCUGAGGACGAGCCGGUAUGAUCCAUGGGUUGCGACCUAUGUACGGGGGAGGUGGGUGUGUAUGAGCAAAUAUGGUCUGUAACGUGAGUAUAUGGAUUAGAUAGGAGCCUCAGAGGAGUCAGUUGUGGGAGUGCAGAUCGUUUGGGAUGGUUGCACUGAGUCCGACUGAUGGAGAAUGUUGAAGGAUUCGAGGACGAAUCCAUGUUAGUGGGGGAGAAUUGUAACGCCCGUGUUCUGGAAAAUAAUAGGAGACUAGAUUGUGUAUAGGAAUUAGGGUGGAGUCAGUUUAAUUCCGGUUGAUUUCCUAAAGUGGUCGAUUUGUCAAUUGAAUCAAAGGAGGUUUAAUUAAUGUCGGUUUAGGUAAAUCAUGGUUUAACCAGAUUAAACCAAAAACCCUAACUUUUAUAAGGAGCGCUUCUUCUCUCUUUUGUUUUGUCGCUGUUGUUUCUGAGAGUUGAGUUGAGAAAAGGAGAAGGAGAAGUUUACUUGUGAGAAGGAGAGUGUUAGCUUUGCUUUGGUGUUUAAGGCAAGAGAAGCGGUUUCGUCACGUCCUGGUAGAAUAGAGUUACGACGUAUCAAAUCUUAUCGAAAGGUAAUGAAUUUUGGUAGGUUUGUUCUUAAGGCGUGUACGUUGAUUCUCCUUUUUACAGAAGUGAAUUCGGAUUAAUACUCAGUGAGUUAUAUGCAGUUUGGUGAGACGCGUUUUCUCUGUUGCGAACUGGGAUCAGCGGAGUUUGUAAGUGCGAUCGUGGUUUCAUCGUUUCUCCGAUCGGCAUCAAUAGUGGGAAGCUUGGUGACGUCUGGGUCUUGCUUUUCACCGUAGGGAUUAAGACGUUAACGGGCGUUGUUUGGCUGUUGCAGUUGCGAGGAGAGUCUUUCAUGGUUGUAUUUGUUAUUCAAAUCACCUUGUUAAGGUGAGUGCGUGACCAUGAGCUUAUCUAAGCGAUUGGGAUUGAGUGACUUGUUUGUGAUGAUUUGUAGGUGAAUUGGAAGUUUUAUUGGAUGUUUAGCUUGCUGAAUGGUUUGCUUAUGUUAUAUAUAUGGGUGUUAUCUCAUAGCUUGUGUGUAUAGCUCGUAGAUGGGAGGAUCGCUCUCACUGAGUAUUUGUGAUAAUACUCACGCAUCUCAUUGUAUUUGUGGUGCAAGUAAAUUGUGAUCCGUGGAAUCAUGGCGAGGAGAGGAGGAAGAUCUAGGGUCUCGGUUGUUAUGUUUAUGAAUAUGUUAAUUGUUGUUGGGACCUGGUUUAGAGGCAUGCUAGGUUGCUAGUGUAAAUUGUGGUUCUUGAAUGAUUAAUUAAUUAAUAUUAUGAUUAAUUGAUGUUGGUUUCAUAUGUUUCCGUUGUGCAUGAUGAUUUAUUGUUGGGUUAAUUAGUAGGUAUGGGACUAUUAAUUAAUGAAUUAAAAAAACGGGUCGGGUCUUUUCAAUUUACAUUUUUUAGUAAGUGAAAAUAUUAAUCUCACGACAAAAAAUAAAUAUAAAUCAAUAUAAGUAAUAUAAAUUUUUAUAUGAGCAAUGCAUCUGUUUUAGCACAUUGGCUAAUGUCUUGAAAUAUCUACUUGAUCACUCUAAGGAUAGAAUUCCGGGUUCAAAGCCCGCAAACGAAGACUAUUAUUUCACAAAAAACUUGAAUACAAAUCUGUAUAUACCAUAUAAAUUUAUAUAUUAGCAAAGCAUCCGUUGUACCACACUAGCUAAGGGCUUGAAAGAUCGAAUUUAUUACUCUAACCAAAUAAUUCCGGGUAAACAACCCGACAAUAGAUAAUACUAUUUUAACUAAUAUCUUAAUAGUUUCGCUAAGAUUAUUAACAUUUUUAUAGUAAGAUAAAAAUAUUAAUUUCACGGCAAAACUUCAAUAAAACAAAUAUAUGCAAUAUUAAUUUAUACAUGAGCAUAGAAUCCGUUGUAGCACACUGGCUAAUGUCUUACAAGAUCUACUUAAUCACUCUAAGAUUUGAAUUACGGGUUCGAAGCCAGGAAACGGAAUAAUAUUUUAGAUUUUAUUUUAAGAAUUUUGCUAAAUUAGAAUUACGGGUUCGAAGCCCGGCAACGGAAUACUAUUUUAGAUGUUAUUUUAAGAAUUUUGCUAAAUUAUUUAUAAUUUUUUUAUUUUUAAAUUAUAAAAAAAUAAAAUUUCAGGAGAAGACUUCAAUAUAAACAUGUAUAUGCCAUAUAAAUUUAUAUUUUAACAAAGCAUAUGUUGUAGCAAUUUAUGUAACACCCCGACCGUCAGCUCUCCAGUGGGUCUCACAUUCACCACUAGUCCAUGGGUCCACCUCUCUUAAUGGCCUUACAUCCUCUCACUAGGCCCAUUGGCCUAUUAAUAUAUGAAGGCCAGUUUGCUACGUCCAUGAGGCUUAAAGUAUUGUUUAGCGACCGUACAAAUCACCACAUGAUCUUUCCAUGUGCUUUGGCCUUACUCACACAGUUCCAUUUUUCGAAAGGUCUCCCAUCCUUUUACUACUCCAGGAUAAGCACGCUUAUUGUGAAGUUCUUUCAGGACCCUUGACCAAAAAGAUAAGUGCACUUCGGUGACAUAGGUGGCCAAAUUAAUUCAUUUAAACUUCUCCGCAAAUUGGGGUCUCACACACUAGCUAAACUCUUGAAAGAUUCAAUUUAUUACUCAAACCAAAGAAUUUCGGGUUCUUGGACCAAAAGCAGAGAAUACUAUUUUGACUAUUAUUUUAUGACUAUUCCUAAGAUUAUUUACAUUUUUUAGUAAGAAAAAAAAUAUUAUUUAAGACUUUAGCUAAGUUUAUUUCACGACAAAACUUAAAUGUAAAUCAGUAUAUGCAAUAGAAAUUUGAAUAUUAGCAAACCAUCCUUUGUAGCACACUGGCUAAUGUCUUGAAAAUAACUUUUUGAUCACUCUAACGAUGGAAUUCUGGGCUCGAAGCAUGACAACAAAGAUUACUAUUUUAUCUAUUAAGACUUUUGGUAAAUUUAUUUAUAAUUUUCAAUUUAUACAAAAAUAAGAAUUCCACAAUAAAACUUAAAUAGAAAUCUGUAUAUGCCAUAUACAAAUAAAUUUUAGCAACACAUCCGUUAUACCACACUAGGUAAUGUCUUGAAAAUCUUAUUUAUUACUCAAACCAAAAUCAAUUCUGGUUCGAAUCCCGACAACGGCGAAUACUAGUUUCACUAUUAUCUUAAGACUUUUGCUAAGAUUAUUUACAUUUUUUAGUAAGUGAAAAUAUUAAUUUCACGAGAAAAAUUAAAUAUAAAUCAAAAUAUGCAAUAUAAAUUUAGAUAUGAGCAAUGCAUCCGCUGUAGCACAUUGGCUAAUGUUUUGAAAUAUCUACUUAACUUGAACCAAACUCUCAUGUGCACUUAACUUGAACCAAACUCUCUUGAAUCCCAUGCAGAACACAUGAAUCAUACAUGCUUUAAACCUGAAACAAUCCUUGAUUCAUCCUGUAAAACAAUCUCAACUCAAUGCAUUACUCAUGAGAUUUAGUUUACAUCCCAUCUGUUCAACCAACUGACUUUUGAACCCAACUUGUAAGAUCUGACAAUACAAACUCUUGUUCAACCUCAUGUCAAAACAAAUGUCUAACCAGCAGCUUCUGAGCCUCUGCUAGUCUCCUUGUAACAGCCUUUAGUGCUUCACUCCAGAAUCCCUGAAGCCACAUACUUGCGGUUACAUAACCCUACAUCAGUUCUUUACUUAUGUAGACUUUACCAAGAAGAAACUUGGUACCACAAUUAUACCUUUUUCUCACCAUUCAUAAAUACCAACUUGACAUGUCUUCACCAUUAAUGAAUCCUCACUUAACCUCCGUGUAAGCGACUUUCCUGAGAAACUUAAUGAUGCAACUAGACCUACUAGUCUUCUAGUAUCCUUGUCUAUCAUAACAUGCAUCUUUAACCACCAGAGAUCUACUUGAAACUUCCCCUUAUACUCACAAGCCUCCUUUAUAAGUGUCAUCUUGUCACCAACAACACUUAAACUUCUUGCAAGUGAAAUCUCUUAGAAGAUUCAUCCACCAAAUCAUCUCUGUAGAUGCAAACAGGUGAACCAAAAUUUUUUGGUUUCUGAUUCUCUUUCCAAUGCAAAAUUAACCUAAUCCCAGUCACCUUGCACAAGCCUUGUAGAUUCUUGCACUUACUCGCAAACUCUUGCACAGUCCUGCAACGUCUACAAAAGUCUUCUAAAGCUUUUAAGUCACCAUGAAGAACAAACUCCACCUUGACAACAAAAAUCUCAUUGGCUGCAACUUCGACUCUUGGUACUCUAUGCAUUUACAUUCUUCUGUAAACUGACCUUGAUUGUAGUUCUUUUAAAUCUCUGACAAGUCGAUCCAUUAUUAUUGAGACUUAACCAUUCAUCCAACUCUCCUCAAGACUGACCACUUCAACAUAAAUUGCUUGGUCCAUCUUCAUACUCAUCUGAAUCUUCUACACAACUUGUUGACUUAACAACCCUUUUACACACAAAUUAAACUCUCUUAAGGCGUCCCUUAACAAACAUAAAUUUGUGACUUUUUGUAGUUGUACCUUCAACAAAUUCUUGAACAUCACCACAUAGACUUUCAACAGCCAAAUCAAAACAAGAUACAAUCUUGACUUUCUAGUAGUUGAAAUCGUCGUCUAGAUUCCUUAACUAAAAUAGUUUCGAGUAUUUAGAAGCUUCAAAACAAAACAUCACAUAUAUCUUGUGAUUGCAGCGGAAAACUGAAUGCUUGUUUAGAUAAGUCUGAGCCUUUUGGAUGAUGUUUUGAUUUUCUCUUCACAGCAAUGUGCUAACAACCUUAACACAUGAACCUGAAUCAAAUACUGUAGAUAACUCCACCUUAAACCAACCCUAUAAUUGAUUUAGCCUUCGAUCAUGAAUACUUUCAUGAUCAUGAGUCUUCUACAACAGUCUAUGGAUCCUCCUUGUAUGCUUACAUCGUCAUGCCUGAGUCUAUGAAAUCAUCAACCUGGCUCUGAUACCACUUGUUGAGAAUCACAGACCCCAAUUCAUCUUUGUAUGAAUCGCAGACCACGACUUUGUCCCAACUCCUCUUUGGAUCAUAGAUCAAUAACAAGACAUAAACAUAACACAGAUAUUUAACGAGUUCCCCUCUGCGUGAGGGUACAUCUCGUGUGGGAACCUUCUCCCACAAACAUCCACUAUCAAUCAGUUAGGUUACACAACGCUCUAACAAGCGCUUACACUAUGUUUCAUAUACAAAGCUUAUAGAGCAACAACAAAGAAACCUAAAGAAGAAAACAUAGGUAAAAACACACAUGUUCAUUGUCUUAGAUGCUUUUCUUCUUCCUCUCUCUAUGUCUCUGAUUCAACUCUCCCUUCCAUAUAUCAACACAGAAACACCUCAAUGAACCCCCAAGAAACAGAUCCACCCUUUGUCUCUCAUCAAAGUGUCAUGGAGACACUUUAAACCUAGACUAGGUCAUGUUCAGCUCUCAGCCCUCGGCCCCAGCCUAUCUACUGCUCAUUACUCAGGGUUCAAAGUACUGAUGCAUGCUCCCUGCACAACGCCAUGCGCAUGCCCUCAACACUACACCUUGCGUUAUGCCUUACGGCUACAACUAGCCUCCAGCGUGUGACCUUUUACAUACAUGCUCUAGCAUACCUGUUUCUUCAACCCUAGUUUCCCAUAUAUACUGAAACCCUAGUGCUUAUGUCGGUUUACUCUUGCAGCAUACACAACUUAAAUCCUGUAUGGGCUACACACCAGUAUAGGCCCAAUUCACUGAGUCAGACCAAAUAAGCCCAAAUGAAGCAAAUAGAUACAACACAUAUAAAAUUAUAUAUUAACAAAGCAUCCGUUGUACCACACUAGCUAAGGGCUUGGAAGAUCUAAUGUACUACUCAAACCAAAGAAUUCCGGGUUCGAAGCCCGGCAACAGAGAAUACUAUUUUAACUAAUAUCAUAAUAGUUUUGCUAAGAUUAUUAACAUUUUUAUAGUAAGAUAAAAAUAUUAAUUUCACGACCAAACUUCAAUAAAACCAAUAUAUGCAAUAUUAAUUUAUACAUGAGCAAAGAAUCCGUUGUAGCACACUGGCUAAUGUCUUAAAUGAUUUAUUUGAUCACUCUAAGAUUAGAAUACUGGGUUCGAAGCCCGGCAACGGAAUAAUAUUUUAGAUAUUAUUUUAAGAAUUUUGUUAAAUUUAUUUAUAAUUUUUAAUAUAAAAAAAAUUUCAGGAUAGGACUUCAAUAUAAAUCUGUAUAUGCGGUACAACUUUAUAUUUUAGCAAAGCAUCUGUUGUAGCAAAUUAUGUAACGCCCCGACCGUCAGGGUUGGCCCUAUGGUAAGGCAAGCAAAGCAUGAGCUUUAGGCCACAUUGAUUUCGGUAAAUUAUCAAGGCCACAUAUUUUUUGUUAUAUAGGUUUUAUUAAUGUUAAUACUCCUAUAGUCCUAUAUAUUAUUAAUAAUACGUAUAUACUUCAAUAUGAUCUGUUUAGUGUCUGGGUUCUUUCUCUUCUUUUAUUACUUGAACUUACGUGGCCUCCAUAUAUAAUAUCGUGGCUUUCUUUCAUCAAAUGUUUACAGUCCAGUUCGUUUUUUUCUAACUGUCUCAGUUUUUUUCUAGUUUUAGUUAUUAUCUUCAAAAACCUAUAGUAUUACAAAAACAACUUGGAAGAAAUCUCCACUUCUUAGUAUCCAACGAAUUUCACUAGAAAUUUUAUAAAAUGUUAGCGUAUAAAAUUAUCUUUGAUCUACAAGCACAUUGUGUUAUAAUAUAAAUUCAACAUAUGUUUUUGGGAAAUAAAUUUGGAUCAUAUUGAUUAUAUAGAAAAGUAUAUAUAUAUAUAUAUAUAUAUAGCUUAUGAUCGAGUUAAAUGUAAAUUUUUCGAAGAAUUAUUGAUAAGAUUGGGCUUUGAUAUCCGGUGGGUACAUGUGGGUCUCACGUUCAACACUAGUCCAUGGCCCCACCUCUCUUAAUGGCCUUACGUCCUCUCACUAGGCCCAUGGGCCUAUUAAUAUCCGAAGGCCGGUUUGCUACGUUCAUGAGGCUUAAAGUAUUCUUUACCGACCCUACAAAUCACCACAUGAUCUUUCCAUGUGCUUUGGCUUCACUCACACAGUUUCACUUUUCAGAAUGUCUCCCAUCCUUUGACUACUCCAGGAUAAGCACGCUUAUUGUGAAGUUCUCUCAGGACCCUGACCAAAAAGAUAAGUGCACUUCGGUGACAUAGGUGGCCAAAUUAAUUAAUUUAAUCUUCUCCACAAACAGGGGUCUCACACACUAGCUAAACACUUGAAAUAUUUAAUUUAUCACUCAAACCAAAGAAUUUCGGGUUCUAGGACCAAAAACAGAGAAUGCUAUUUAGAUUAUCAAAAACAGAGAAUACUAUUUUGACCAUUAUUUUUUAGUAAGACAAAAAUAUUAUUUUAAGACUUUUUCUAAGUUUAUUUCAUGACAAAACUUAAAUGUAAAUCAGUAUAUGCAAUGUAAAUUUGAAUUUUAGCAAAGCAUUCGUUGUAGCACACUGGCUAAUGUCUUGAAAGAUGGUUUUGAUCACUCUAACGAUGGAAUUCCGGAUUCGAAGCCCGACAACAAAGAUUACUAUGUUAACUAUUAAGACUUUUGCUAAAUUUGUUAUAAUUUUCAAUUUAUACAAAAAUAAGAAUUCCACAAUAAACCUUAAAUAUAAAUCUGUAUAUGACAUAUAAAAUUAAAUUUUAGCAAAGCAUCCAUUGUACCACAAUAGGUAAUGUCUUGAAAUAUUUAUUUAUUACUCAAACCAAAAACAAUUCUGGUUUGAAGCAAGCCAACGGUGAAUACUAUUUUAACUAUUAUCUUAAAACUUUUGCUAACAUUAUUUACAUUUUUUAGUAAGUGAAAAUAUUAAUUUCACGAUAAUAAUUAAAUAUAAAUGAAUAUAUGCAAUAUAAAUAUAUAUAUGAGCAAUGCAUCAUUUAUUAAUAAUUUUUAAUUUAUAAUUUAUAUGCGGUAUAAAUUUAUAUUUUAGCAAAGUAUCUGUUGUAGCAAAUUAUAGUCACCUCUCCUGUGGGUCUCACGUUCACCACUAGUCCAUGGGCCCAGCUCUCUUAGUGGCCUUACGUCCUCUCACUAGGCCCAUGAGCCUAUUAUUAUCCGAACGCCGGUUUGCUAUGUCUAUGAGGCUUAAAGUCUUGUUUACUGACCCCACAAAUACCACAUGUUCUUUCCAUGUGUUUUGGCCUCACUCACACAGUUCCACUUUUCGGAAGGUCUCACAUCCUUUGACUACUACAGGAUAACCACACUUAUUGUGAAAUUCUCUCAGGAUCCUUGACCAAAAAGAUAAGUGCACUUCGGUGACAUAGGAGGGCAAAUAAAUUCAUUUAAACUUCUCCGCAAACAGGGGUCUCACACACUACCUAAUGUCUUGAAAGGUUUAAUUUAUUACUCAAACCAAAGAAUUUUGGGUUGUAGGAUCGAACACAGUGAAUACUAUUUUAACUAUUAUUUUAUGACUAUUGCUAAGAUUAUUGCAUAAAAUAACUAAUAACCUGGGCAUUGAUCCUAACUAGCGAAUCCAGGAAGUAAACAUGGUUUAAAAAACAUCAUCACCCUCUAUACUAAUGUAACUGCCCUACUUGUAACGUUCUAGACUAAAACUUAUUAUGCAAAUGCAAACUAUAUGAUCAAUCUUUUCUUUAAAGAUUUUUCUAAUAAUUUUUCAAUUUGUAUAGGGUUUCAAUGCACAUAGAUAAAUGGAGAAUAUACACUAAAAAUUUAUAAUUCUACCCAGAAUAUAAGAUAGUGUAUAUUUCUACCUAAACUGUUAAUCCAUUUAAAUUAUCAACCCAAACUCUUAUUUUAGAGUCGAUAUCGACACUGACUCAAACAGACGUUAGUCAACCGUUAAAAUCGAUUACUCGGACGACAUAGUGGCAAGAGCAAAGAUGAUAUGGCGUGUCGUUGAACAGAACGACGUCGUUUGUUUAUCAAACUGAAGUCUAUAUGGGUCAAAAUUCGAUCUAGGGUUUCACACAUCUUUUUCAUUCUGCUUCUGCUCUUCAAUUAGAGAUUAGACUAACUCAUAUGUACACUAAGAUGCUUCCCUAAUACAUGUAAGAAUGUGGAGAAGUUGUUAUAAUGAAGACAUCAACAGCUGUUAGAAACCCAAGAAGAUUGUCCCAUGCAUGUCCUUUUGGAAGGGAAAGGGUAAGUGUAAAGUCUCUUAAUUGUCUUGUAACAUUUAGGUUUUGUCUGCAAAUUUGAAGUUUAGCAUUGAAUUAUGUUUGUAUAUAUCAUAGGAUUAGAGUCAUACAUUUCAAUGGACUGAUACAUCCAUGGUCGAAAAAAUUAAAGAUUUGAUUGAGAAAGUGGAGAAUAUUGAAGGAGCUUCAGUCACAUUGCAGAAGGGCUUCAAUGCUUGCAAGUCUGAGAUUGAUACUCUCGCCAUGGAAUCACGCGUGUGUGAGGCUGUCGUUGAGAAGAAGGUUCGAGAGUGUAAAAUGUAGCUAAUAAGCCUGAAGAACAUUGUUGGGUUUGCUUUGGUGAUGGAUUUUUUUUCAUUUUUAUUUAUUGAGUAUGUGUGUUGUAAAAUGGCUAUGAAAGUAACUUGAAGACUUGUGUUUGUAUGUUUGAGACUAAUGUGGCGCGCUAUGAUAUGCAAUUUAUGUUUGUAUGUGAAAGAUGGAAAAAUGGUCAGUUCUCAUAACCUAAAUCCAACGAAUGAAACUGAUAAAAAUGGUCACUUAGCAUAAAAAUACAACCGAUAUAUUAUCCAAAACAGACUAUAGAGUUACAAUUCACAAAAACAUAAAACAGACCAUUGUGUAACCUGUCACAAGCAGAUCAAAACAUGGUUAUGUUGCAUAUCCUAAAAUCAGACCAUGACAAAAGAAAAAGUAAAGAGAAAUUGGUAUUAAACUGCUUCAUACUUCUAAUUUCAAGCACCAUGUGAGUCUUGUGUUGGUUGACUUGGUCCAACAUCAUCUACCAUUGUGUUUGAUGUUUGUUUCUUCUUCUACUUCUUUUGCAGUUGGAUAUAUUUCUCCACUCCAACAGGUGGGCAUUUAGCGUCAUUGUGUCCAGCCUGACUACAACGAUGACAAUUCAUAAUCCUCUCCUCUCUACUGGCAAAUUUCUUCUUUGUUGGAGACUCAUGCUUGCUUUUUUUCCUUUUUGGGUUUGGCUUUCUUCCUUUUCUGUUUUCAAAUUUUUCAACAAAACUUAGUGGCAAUACCACAAAAUCAGAUUUAUGAUAGAAACAUAUACCAAUUACUGGCCGGAUCGAGUCACUAUAGAUCUAUUGUUUUCUUGAACUGAGGAGCGAAGUAGAGAUGUAAUCUUCUCUAUUACGCUCAUUUUCUACGAUCAUGCGUAAUGCAUGCCUGCAGGGAACUCCACUCGUCUCCCAUCUAUGAUGAGAUGAUGGGCUCAAGUGGUGUGGAUUUAGUGGAGUUUGUGACAUGUCCGACUGAGUAAGACAGUAAGCACCAGUUAGGUGAACUCGAGCAGAGUCCAGUGAGUAUGUUUAAAGUCACUUACCUUGUUUUUUUAUGCCUUUUAGGCUUUCGAAGGUUCACAUAGAGGAAUUGAGGAUCCCACUAGUGUCUUUUUAUCUUCUAAGUACUUCUUGAUAUGUGACAAUUCAUAGUGAACUCGCUGCCAUCCUUUUUCUGUAGAGUGAUUGCGCCAAAUGAAAAAACGUUUUGAUCUUAGGUCAAGACCAUCUAGACUUAAGAUUUCGAGGAAAUUUCUUAAGUCUAUAAUUGAACUUUUGCAUACUUCAUUAUUCUUUUGCAUAGGAACAGUUAAUCCAGCGGGAACAGUUGCGCCGAGAGGAACGAUUGCUACAACCGGAACAUGGGGAACGUUUGCUCCAGCAAGAACGGUGGCGGGAACAUGCACGACAGCGCCAGAGGGAACGUUUGCACCAGCUGGAACUGUGGCUCCUAGUGGAACAGUUGCGCCAAGAGGAACGAUUGCUCCGGAAGGAAAGGUGGCUCCGGCGGUAACGGUAGCUCCGGUAGGAACGGUUGCUCCAAUGGGUUGAAAAACGGGAAGAGGUAGAGAGGUGGUGGAAGUUGAAGCAGCCAUUUUGUGUAGUUAAUAUGAGAGAAAUUUGUUGCUUGGGUUUUUUUGACUUGAUCUUCUAGUUUUAGUAGAUGUGUAGUCUCAUCAGUUUCGGUCUUAGAGAAAGUCUAUUUUUCGAUUAAAAUAAUCAUCUUUUGCUAAAUAAAAGAGAAAAUAAUUACUAUGCGUAGGGAAAAAAAGAAGGUUAUAUGUAAAUAGUUUCCAAUGUUUUUAUAACCGUAUUGCCCAACCCGGUUGACUAAAUAUACUAUACAUUGAACUAACCCAAAUUAGCUGAUGAUCAACUGUUGUCGCUGGAUUAACUGUUCCUAUGUAAAAGAAUCAUUUCCUAAACAGUCUAUCUCCACCCCUCUUGUACAAAUAAGGUUCAUCCUAGAAGUAGUGAUUGACGUCUCUAAUAAUCUCUUUCUUUUUAUAAGUAUCGAUGUCUUCAUGAGCCUCUUAAAAGACCUCGUAGUUCAUAAUAUCCGCAUACCAAGGCUUACUCUUUGAACUGACUGUGAGACGGUGAAUUACCUUCAUAGACAUGCAUGUUUGAUGCAUCUUCUCACAUAUCUCAACAACCAUAAUAGGUUCCUCAGGCAUAAUAUCAUCAUUAAGAACUGGAUCCUCUUUCUGGAAAGAUUAUCAUCAACUCCAUUUUCUAUUUCCUUCUUAUCAAUAAUUUCUAUGUCAUAUAAAAAAAAAACAUAAAACUAUUUCUAUGUCAAAUUCCUGUAGAAAAAGAAUCCAUCCCAAUAGUCUAGGCUAGGUAUGUCUUGGCAUAGAUAUGUCUUAGGACUACAUAAUCAAUGUACACAGUAACUUUGGAGCCCACCAAGUAGCUCAUAAACUUUUCAAAUGAAAACACAACUGCCAACUACUUUUCUCUAUUCUUGCAUACCUCCCUUGAGCCUCGUCUACUAGCAAACGUUGCUUCUUUCCAAUGUCCUAGUGAAGCCAAUACAAGGAAGCAAACGUCGCGCGUCAUCAACUACUAGGUGAGUGAAGUAGUACACAUACAUCUCGUUGCUUUUCUCCUAGUGCAACCAUUGAUCUUACCUCUAGUUCUGGAUGUCAAUCAAUCUUGGUGCAACAAGCUCUGAUCUCAGGGGGACACUACAAGCCUCUAAGAUUACAGUGACCAGGCCUUCCAUGCACAUAACUCCCUGAAAUAUAUAGUUUUUCAGCUGGUGCAAUAGAGUGAAUGAGGGUGAUGUGUUGGUUUAUCACCUCUCAUUAAUGUCCAUCUACUGUAGAUAACAAGAGGUCCUCAAGUGUAAGAUCAAUUACCUCCAACUCCUCGUUGAUCAGCAUCCUUGUCAUCUCCCUUGCAAAGAGCAUGUUCGCAAUUGAUAUGUGGAAGUAGCGAAUGACUAGACUUUUAAUGUGGAUGUUCUUGCUCCGGGAUGAAGCAAACUUCUUUUCGUUCCCAAUUGUUGCCCAAAGAGACAACCUUUAUUUAAGUUUUAAUUAAGUUUGUAAAACAAUGAGUGCCCAGGGCACCGUGCUACUAAUGGUUUUCAAAGAAUUUUUAAGUACAGGUUUAGGUGAACUUGAACUUCUUGCUGACGUACGAGCUGUACUAGAUCAAUACAAUGAUGUUUUCCCAGAAGAGAUUCCACCAAGACUACCUCCUUCGCGGCAUUGAACAUCAGAUCGAUCUUGUACCAGGUUUUGCUCUACCUAACAAACCAGCUUACCAAAUGAAUCCGGAGGAGUCUAAGGAUCUAGAAAAGCAAGUGCGCGACUUGAUAGACAAAGGGUACAUCAGAGAGAGCCUCAACCCGUAUGUUGUACCAUUUAUUUUGGUACCAAAGAAGGAUGGUACAUGGAGGAUGUGUGUGGAAUGUAGACAUCAUAUUCCAAGAUAAGACGACAUGUUGGACGAGCUUAGUGGUGCUAUCAUCUUCUCCAUUCCGUUGCUAGCUCAUCAAGAGUUUGUCCAGCUUCUCAUUCACAAUCUUCAUCUCCUUCUUGUACUUCUCAUCUAAUAAAUGAGCUAUAUGAUCGACUUCAAAUGAACGAGCUUUAAUGAACAUGAGCUAGAUCAUGAGCUCCACUCUUUUUUUACAUCUAAAUAGAAAAUUUGUAAUAUAUCUUUUCCAUUAAAUAAAACAAAAAUAGAAAAGCUUAAUGGAAAAUUUGUGUUUUACUUUUACAUGAUAAUUUUAUAAGAUAAAUAUUAACAAUAUAGAAAUAAUCCUUUUUAACAAUUAAUCUACAAUUUUUCAUAAAAUAAAAUAGAAAUUAUCCUAAUUAAAUCACCUAAUGUUUUUUAUAUAAACACAUACUAGAACAUCGUUUGUCUCAUAAUUCACAAACUUCAUUAAUCUCAAUAGCAAGUUAGGUUUUCGGCUAUCAUAAGGGUAAUUCUCAAAUAACUUGUCAUUAGGUUGUGAGUUGUGGCGUUGUGUCAUGCAUAUGUGAGUUAUGUAACAUAACUUCAGAUGUUCUAUGAUUCUAUGAUCCCAUUAUAUGUAUUUCAUUAUCUUUUUAAUGUCUUACGUAGUUACGUACUUACGUUAGAUAUCAUACAAACAAAGAAAAAAUCCAAUAUACAUGUAACAUGUGUGAUCUAACGAUGAUUGUUCGAUUUUAUAUACCUUUCAAAUAAUUAUUUUUAUCUCAUCCAUUUAAUUUGACUUUUAACAAAUAUUACCUUUUUUAUAUAGGUUUAAUGGAGCAGUGGGAAGCAGAUUUAAUGCAUGAAGAAGAAAAUAUGAUGAGUGAUAAUGAGGAACCAUUACCUGGGAAUGAAGCAGGAUCAAGUGUAAGAAAGAAGAGGGCACGAACAUCACCUGUGUGGAAACAUUUCAAGUUUGAACUGGUUGGAGAGAAGAUGAAGAAGGCUACUUGCAAUUAUUGUUUAAGGGAAUAUAACAUGGCCCUGACCACUGGAACUACUCACUUGAUGCAUCAUUAUAAUGCAUGUCCUUGUGUGAAUGUAGGGAAUAUGAUGCUUUAUGUCGAUUCAUGUCGACAUGAAGCUACAUGCUAAAAAGAUUGAUCAGAAAAUUGUGAGGGAAAAAUGUAGCAGAGUCCUCAUAAGACAUGAUCUUCCUUUUUCUGCUAAUGAGUAUGAGGAAUUAAGAGAUUUUCUUAAGUAUAUGAAUCCAGACUAUAUUUCAUAUACUAGAAACACUGAUGCAUAAGAUGUUAUCAAAACGUGGAAGACUGAGAAGGAGAAGUUGAAGUUAUAGUUGGAAAAUAUUCCUAGCAGAAUAUGUUUAAUGUCGGAUUGUUGGACAGCAAUUUAAGGUGAAGGAUACAUAUCUUUCACGGCUCAUUAUGUAGAUGAGAAAAGGUUAUUGAACAAUAAGAUUCUAUCUUUUUGUGAUAUACUUCCUCCACAUACUGUUGAAGCUUUAACUACUAAAAUUUAUGAGUGUCUGAGGCCAUGUUUAUCAGCGUUAGUAGGCUAAGUCCCAACCAAAACACCCAUUUAGUUUAAAAGUAAAUCCAUGAUAUAUUGAAGAAACGUUCGUAUAAACGGGACGAAUUAAGCAGGUCCUUCGUCCAGCGUGUCAUGUUCUCAUUGGUCGUCGGUUUAGUGUAGGUAUAAUUUUUUCUGUGUUGAAUUGUUUUCUUUUCUUUUCUUCUUCUCUCUCUCUCGACUCUCUCUCUCGACUCUCUCUCUCGAGUUUCUCGAGUGCGACCAAAGACGAUUUCACAAGCGAUUGAAAUCGACCUCUGAAUUCCGGCGACAGAAAGGCUCAAUCGUCAGCUUCGUCCUCUUCUUCGUCUUAUUUAUCUUCUGGCAAAGCAAAUCCCUUAGAAGAACCCGGAAAUCAGACCCUAAUCGGUAAGAAUUCUAAAUCCGAGAAGAAAAUUUGGGGGUUUUUAUUUAUUAUGCUUGGAUCUUCUUUGUAUAGGUGAUUUUUAUAGAGUUGUUAGGGUAUUCGUUAUUGAUUGAAUCAUUUUGGUAUAGAAAUCGAUUAGGGUUUAUUUAUGUAGAUUCGAUUUAUGGAUCUAGGGUUUUCAGAUAAUGGUUAGAUUUGGUUUGAAUAUGCAUGGUUCUUCUUUGUAUAGGUGAUUUGUAAUGAGUUUUUUUUUGUCUCUAUUUGUUAUUGAUUGAUGUUGGGUACUGAAAUCGUUUGGUUCCAAUUUCUGAUUUACUGUUUCGUAACUGUUUCUAGUGUUUAUUUGGGUCUGAUGAUGCUGAUGGAAUUUGAUUGGUUUGUACUGUAUAUUUGGGUUGGAACCAAACCGUUUGUAGUGUUUAUUUGAUUGGUUUCUAGUGUUUAUUUGGGUUGGAACCAAACUGUUUCUAGUGUUUAUUUGAUUGGUUUCUAGUGUUUAUUUGGGUUGGAACCAAACUGUUUCUAGUGUUUAUUCCGGUUGGAACCAAACUGUUUUUGAUGUUUAUUUGGGUUAGAUGGAAUUUGAUUGGUUAAAGGCUCAAUUGUAAUCUGUAUUGAUGUAGGUGAGGUGAACCAAGUGGAGUGAUAAGCACCAAUUUGAUCCACAUUUAAAGGUAAAUGUCAUUCCUUUUUAACUUCAGCAAUUGUAAUAUGUUUGAGCAUUUUGAAACUGAUAUGAAUGAUCUUUCAAUGACAUGAAACUGAUAUGAAUGAUCUUUUAAGUUGCUACAGAUGUGGUUGUAGUUUUCAAUGUCAAACUGUUUUAGUUAGGGGUGUUCUUUGCUUUACUAAUGUUGUUUGCGUGUAAUAAGGAGUCUUGGUCAUAGACUGAUAGAAAUUGUGACAGUUAGGCAAGUUGUUUGUUUCACCGUAAUAGUUAGCCAUGAUGUUUGCUGAUUGUUUUAGGUUUGUUGUUUCUGUAGUAGUUAGGAUUUUGUUUGUUGUAUUUGUGUUGUUCAUGUUUGGUGUUAGCCAUGUUGUUGAUGUUUGCUGUUUGCUGUUAACUUUAUCAUUAAAGAAAGUGAUAUAAAUAGAAAGUAUGAAUUGCUAUUGUUGUAAAAGGUGUUGUACUAGCUAGUUUCAUAAUGGCUGAGAUUUAUUGCAUGUACUUGGCUUCUUGUUUUGUUGUAAUGAUGUUGUAUAAUAGUACUAGCUAUGAGAGUUUCAUGUCAAGUAGCUUGUAGAAAUUAUAAAAUAUGAAUGAUAAAGUAGAGUUAAAUGUAAAAACUGGUGAUUAGACAUAUGCAGUUAGCUAGUAAUGAGUUAUUACUUGAUACCAUUUUCUAUCUUCUCCACCAUCGUCUCUCACCUAUUAAACUUGAUAGCAAGCUUCUUUCUUCUCCACCAUAUUCUAUUUGUCCUCUUUCUUCAAACCACUAACCAGCCAAACCUUUCUAGACUUAUCUUCAUUCUCGAUCCCUUUCAUAUGGAUUCUUACAAUCCAUAUCCCCACUCCUCAAGUUAUCUAGACCUUCUUAACAGUCAACAAGAAACUCAUACCCAAGGAAACUCUUCUUAUGAGAGUUUCCCUCCUUCUGCCUACAACCUUGCUUCUGAGUUAUCUAUUUGGAGUUCACAGCAAUCAGCUGCCACACCUACAUCUGAAGAAACUCCAGUGGAUCGCAAAGAGAGAAAGAAGUGGAACAAUACUGAUGAUGAAGUACUUAUCUCUGCUCGGCUCAAUAAUUCAAAGGACACAGUAGUUGGAAAUCAACAGAAGGCUGGAUGUUUUUGGCAGAGGGUGGGAGAGUAUUAUGCUAGCUCUCCCACUUCCACAGAGAAUGGUCAGAAGGGCUUGAAUGUUAACUGCAAGCAAAGGUGGCACAAAAUCAAUGAUUUUGUGAACAAGUUUGCUGGUGCUUAUGCAACUGCAGAAAGGCUCAAUAGUAGUGAUCAUUUAGACAAUAAUGUUCUGAAGGUCGCAUACGAUAUCUACUACUCUUACCACAAGAGCAGGUUCACUUUGGAGCAUUGUUGGUGCCUUUUGAGGUAUGAACAUAAGUGGCUCAGCCUGAACACUAUCAACAGUGGUACACCUAAAGGAAGAUCAAAGAGGAAACCUCAACAAGAUGGUUCACAGUCAGCAACUAGCACGGGUGAAGACUCUAAGAUCAGACCGGAAGGGGUCAAGGCUGCUAAGGCAAAGAAGAAUAAUGGUGAAGGGAAGGCAGUAGCUGAGUAUCAAAGCAUGUGGGAAAUCAAGAAGGUGGAGAUGGCUGAAACUGAGAAGCUUCAGAAGCUUGCUAUCCUUGACACAAUACUGGCUAAGAAGGAACCUCUUUCUGAGAGUGAUGAACUUAUCAAGAAGAAGAUUGUUUCUCAGUAUUUCUGAGAUUUUGUAUCUCUUAUUACCUUUACUAAUUAAGUUUGCAUGUGUUUCUAUUAUUCUAUUAAUGUGUACUCGGCUUUAGGUGAUGAUGUCUUCUAUUAUUGUAUGAAUGUGUACUAUGCUUUUGGUGAUGUUGUGUGUCUGUUAUAAACUGAAUGUGUACAUGGCUUGGUUCUAAUGUCUUUAUGUUUUUGUUCUUGUAUGACAAACAUGAUAUAUAAGAAUGUUGUUAUGUAUAAGAAAUGUUGUUAUGUUUCUGAUUCUGUUUAUUAAACUUUUAUACUUGAAGUGUCUUCUAAUGCUAGUUUAAUGGUUAUUUUGAGGUUGAAAUAUCAGAUGGGGCAGGACUACAAUUAUUCACAGCCUUCCUCCUCAGACCAAUACGACCAUCAUGACCACAGUGAAGACAAAGAAGAAGAGGCCUUGAUUCUACUGGAUGAUGCUGACAGUCACUUGAUCAAUGCAAGAGCUAUUCUGAUGGAUGAAGUUGAAACUCACUUGCAACAAACUCAGGCGAGUCAAUACCCUCCUCAACCUGAGGUAGAGAUUGGUUUCCCAAAGUAGUGCUACUGUAGUGGGAGGCCUACUCUAAGUACUUGCUACAACCCAAAUAAUAUAGGCAGAAGGUAUUCUAUUAACUUGUCUCACUAUGCUUCUGUUAUAAUUCUAUACGUACUGAGUCUUUAACGGUUUAUCUGGUUGUGUAAAUGUGAUGGUAGGUUCUUCACAUGUCAAAAUGUGGAAGAUGGGGAUAUGCAUCUCCACAAGUGGUGGGAGGAUGCUGCAAUGGAAGAGAUGAGAGACUUGGACAGAAUGUAUGAGGUCUUAUCCGAGAAGGUUGAUGCCUUAAACUGCGUGAGUCACUUUGAAACGGAUCAGAAGCUCCAUCACUUAGAAUUGUUAGUCUCUGAUCUAGGUAAGAAAAACCUUAGGUUUAGAAGUGGAGUUCAGAUGGUUGUAGGUCUAAUGGAUGUUGCAGCAUUUGUUUUAGCAGUGUUGGUAGUGUAUAAGUAAGAAAAUUUUGUUGUGUAGUGCUAAUGACAUUGUGGUAAGGUUCACGGGUUUGUUGUGUAGUGCUAAUGACAUUGUGGUAAGGUUCACGGGUUUGUUGUUUUUGUUGUAUUAACUGGAUAUUUGUGAUCGGAUAUGAUUUAUUUCAUCUCUAUGCAUUCACCAGUAAUGUAUUUAUUCACGGGUUUUGUAUAAUUUUUGAAUUGAACCAAGUUGAUUUAUGUUCACGGAUAUGUAUAAUUUUGUAUAUUUUGUAUAUAUGCAUAACUUUUCUAAUUAUUAUCAUCUCUUUUCGGUUCACGGGAUUGAUAUAAACAUGUAUGUGCAACAAAUAUUCAACACUUCUAUAAAUGAACACAAACCAAACCUUCUUCUUUCACACUUCUAUCUCUACACAAACCUUCUUCUUUCACACUUUUUCACACUUCUAUCUCUACACAAACCCUUCUUCUUUCUUUCUUCUUCCACAAACCUUAUUAUAUUUUGCCUUCUACACAAACCUUCUUUCUUAUUUCUUCUACACAAACCUUCACUUUCAAUACCAAUCUCCCUUUCUCACUUGCUUUUGUAUUAAUAUGGCAUCAUCUUCAAAUCAUUUCCACUACCAAAGAGAUGAGGAUGAUGCAUUUGAUGCAUAUUAUCAAAAUUUCCAAGAAUAUUUAAAUCUCUUAGAAGAACCCACCUUACGAAAGAAACGAGUUUUUAUCGAAAGAAACCGUGAAGAAGGCCACAAUAAUCUUUGGAUUGAUUAUUUUAGUGACACUCCAACAUACCCACACAAUUUAUUCCGUCGACGUUUUCGAAUGAACAAGCCAUUGUUCAUGCGUAUUGUGCACCGUCUAUCUACCGAAAUCCAAUAUUUUCAACAAACCCAAGAUGCGGCCGGACGCGCUAGUCUUUCACCAAUACAAAAAUGCACUGCAGCAAUUCGUCAAUUAGCAUAUGGUGGUGCAAAGGAUACGGUGGAUGAGUAUGUACGGAUUGGAGCUACAACAGCUCGAAAAUGUUUGCACGAGUUAACGCUUCAAUAAUCCAAUUGUUUUGCGAUGAAUACUUACGACGUCCCACACAGGAAGACCCACAACGACUACUCCAUCAAAAUGAACAACGUGGAUUCCCCGGGAUGGUUGGGAGCAUAGACUGCAUGCAUUGGGGGUGGAAGAAUUGUCCCACUGCUUGGAAAGGCAUGUAUUCAAGAUCAAUCGGAAAACCUACGAUCGUAUUGGAGGCGGUAGCUUCGUAUGACCUUUGGAUUUGGCAUGCAUUCUUUGGAGCUCCAGAUACUAUGAACGAUCUUAAUAUUCUAGAUCGAUCUAAUGUUUUUGAUGACAUUAUAAACGGUCAAGCUCCGGAAGUUAAUUUCUUUGUCAACGGAAGGGAGUACAAUUUAGCAUACUAUCUCACUGAUGGUAUUUAUCCAAAAUGGGCGACUUUUAUUCAAUCUAUCCGACUUCCACAAGUUAAGAAAAAUUCUCUCUUUUCUAAAAAAUAAGAAGCAGUGCGGAAAUAUGUUGAGCGUGCCUUUGGAGUCUUGCAAACUAGAUUUGCCGUUGUUAAAAAUCCUUCUCCUUUAUGGGAUAAAAACAAAAUGGCAAAUGUGAUGAAAGCAUGCAUAAUACUCCAUAAUAUGAUUGUGGUAGAUGAACGCCAUACGUACAAUCUCCGUAACGUUGAAUUUCAACACGAAGAAGAUGUCGAUCAAACAUAUACCGUUGGCACCGCCGUAGCGGGUUCAAAUAUCGGGACAACGAUUACAAGACGAACAAGAGUUCGUGAUAAACAAGCCCAUCAACAAUUAAAAGAUGAUUUGAUUGACCAUAUUUGGACUAAUUUUGGACAUCUUCAAGAUAAUGAAGAUUAAUUUCCAAAAUUCUAAGAAUGUCGAUCAAUAAAAUGUUGGUAAAAUAUUUCUAUGCUUAUGUAAAAUGUUUUUAAUGUCUUUAUUGUAUGUUUACAAGCUUAAUCCUUGUUUGUAACUUUGUAAUUUUAAUAUGUUUAAUAUUAAUCCACUAUUUAAUAUGUUUUUCCUUUUGUAAUUCAAAUCAAAUAAUUAUUUAAAAAACAAAAUAUAUGAUAUUUAUAAUGGUGGGACAAAAUAUCAAAAUACACCAAUGCUCAACCUUCAAAAUAAAUCAAUUGUCCUACAUGUAGAAUAUACAUAAAAAUUAGUGGGAGAAACCAAUGGGACAAACCAAUGUGCAUGGUCUAAGGGAUUGGGGAAUAGAGAAAAAAGUAUUCACUCUUACGCUGAAUAAUGCUACAGCUAACGACACUAUGCAAGAUAUUUUGAAAGAGCGUCCAAAUCUAUAUCAUAAUUUGUCGUGUGAAGGUGAAUUUUUUCAUGUGCGAUGUUGUGCACAUAUCCUAAACCUUAUUGUCCAAGAUGGUCUAAAGGUCAUUGGUGAUGCUCUGUCUAAAAUAAGAGACAGUGUGAAGUAUGUUAAAGCUACAAAGGCUAGAGGAAUUGCAUUUGAGAUAUGUGUACUAGAAGAAGGUGUCGUAGUUACUUUGUCUUUGGAUUUUCUAACAAGAUGGAAUUCUACUUAUUUGAUGCUUGACAUAUUGGGAUCAAUAUAGUGUCAUUCUAGCGAUGGGAGCAGUCCUCGACCCUAGAAUGAAAUUCAAACUCCUAAAGCGUUGUUAUGAAGUGCUUGAUCCAAGUACGUGUAAUAAAAGGUUAGACCACAUAAAAGAAAAGUUGCGUUUACUCUUUGAUGAUUACGUGCUUAAAUAUCCAACAACCACAAGCACCACUAAUGCUUCUUCUACUAAUGCACGUGAGAUCAGUAAGCAAGGAAGAGACAAGUCAGAUAUGUUAGAUUUAAGUUUUCUACCUAAAUUAAUUAUUAUUUAAUUUAUUUUAUCAUAUUGCAUGUGAGUUUGUGACUGAUGUGUUUUGAUUUUAAAUGUUGUAGGAUUUGUUUGACCUAGAUUAUAUGCCAAAAGUUACAGAGGAAGGGGAAUCAGUCUUGGAUAUAUAUCUCACUGAAACGAAGCUAGAGAUUAAAAAUCACCCAAAGAUGUGUGUCUUGCAAUAUUGGAAAGAUAAUAUAAAUUAUGUUGGAGCUUUGGGUUAUAUGGCAUACGACAUACUAAGCAUUCCUAUAACUACUGUGGUGUCAGAAUCAUCAUUCAGUAUUGGUUCCCAUGUUUUAAAUAAGUAUCGUAGUCGUCUUCUUCCUAUAAACACGUCCAGUCUCUGCUUUGUACCCGAUCUUGGUUGUUUGGCUUUACAACAGACGACAAUGGAUGUUCUUAUUAUAAUUAUGAUUAUUCAUCAAUGGUUUUUGCUAGCCUAUGUCUUAGCAUGAACUGUAUAUACAAGUUUUAAUUCUUUAAAUUUACUUGCAGAUGAAGACGAUGAAGAUGUUGCUCUUGAAUCAUCUCAAGAACAAAACUCUCACCUGGAAUAGUUUUUUUUUUAUCAUUCUAUUAUUUUGAAUUAAUUUUAAUUUAAGUUUUAAGUUUGAGUAGUUGGUUUUAUUUCCGGUUUGAGAACUAAAAUUUAUUUUAUUUCGAUUGAGUUUUAAUGUUUAAUUUUUACAUUAUGUUAUCGGUUUUAUUAUGAGUUUUUUUUAAUAAAGUUUGAAUUUUGUUAUUAUAAUAUUUCUUUAUAUUAGCUCGCGAGUUUGCUCAUUUAACUCGUGAUCAACAUGAUUUGAGUUCAAGUUUACAUAUUGAAGCUCAUAUAAUAAAUGAGCUAAGCUGAGCUGGCUCAUGAAACAUUCAAGCUUGUCAUGAUAUUAGCCGAGCUGAGCGAGCUGGCUCAUUUUGACACGCCAACUUAUACCGCUGGAAGUGCUCCCAAUCCUCGUAGAAAAUUUCAGCAUUCUUCUAAGUAAACCCAAAACGAGUUCCUAAAACACAUCAAAUGAAACAUACAGUACAUUCUUUAAUAACUUUAAAAUUACCCAAGCUUUUGUUUGGCUAUUGUACAUGACUCACUAAUGGUGAAAAUUAUAGUGAUGCAUAUAACUCACUAUGUAUAUGACUCACUAUGGGACAUUAACUGAUGUCAUAGAACUUGAGUAUGAGAGGAUUGUCAAUUUGAAAAUCACACUUUUUAAGUGCAAGUGGUAUGACCCUGUUAUCGGUAGAGACACUCGAAGGAGCAAUGGUGGCGUUGUAGACGUAAUUUCAUCACUAAAGUACAAUAAAUACGAACCAUUUAUUCUAAGUACGUACGUAUAAAAUUUACAUAUUAAUAAUAUAUACAUAUACAAUGUAUAUAUAUGUCUAACAAAUUCUCUAUGUUGAUAUAUAAAUAUGCAACAGCCUCUCAAGUGCAUCAAGUUUGUUAUAUCCCGUACCCAUACAUAAAAAACCGAAAAUUGUGGCUCAAUGUUCUUAAAGAUAAUCCAAGGGGAAACAUUUUUGGAGAAUAUGAAAACAAAGAACCGACUCUAUUGCAAAAAGAAAAUUAUGAUGUUGUAUUGAUGACUACAAUGGAAGACCUCGAAGUUGACAAUUUGGAUGUGGGAGUAAAUGCAAUAAAUCUUGAUUAUGAUAUCGCAAAUGCGGAACUUGAAGAUGAAUUUCGGUGUAAUUUAUCAUUUUCUGAUGAUGAACAACCAGAUGAUGAUGAACUCUUUUAUAGUUGGUCCUAAUAAAAUAUGUAAUAUAAUGCAAUAAUAUAUAUGCAAUAAAUAUGUGAUACUUUAAUCGAAAAACCAAAUUUAUGUCUAAUUUAAACCGAGAAACCAAACAAAAUUGUAAAGAUUUGCUCUAAUUAAACCGGUUAAUUGAACCAAUUAGUUUCCCAUAAGGCGACUAAUAAGUGACUAAUUACCGAAUACUUCGACAACUAAUGGGCUUAUGUAAACCGAACAACCCCUUGUCCGUUAUUGAAAUCGGCCCAGUUAAAUAGAAAGCUCAAUAACGGAUACUAACCCUAAACGACGAAACCAUUCACUUCUUCUUCUUCGAUCUUCAACCCUAACCUCUGUGUUCUCUCUUUUUCUUCGAUCUUUCAUCCUCUUCUUCUUCCAUCUCUGAUCUCUUUCUUUUUCAAACUAUAUUUUUCAGACACCUUCAAUUAUUGUAACCCUCACACACUUUUAUAAAUUACUGAAAGAGAUGCAUAAUUAUUUCCAUAAAUACUUAGUGAGUCACUCAUCCCAACUACUGGGCUAUACAUACAAGCAACAUCAAAACAUAUUCAGGCAAUAUAUCACAACACAAUGUAACAAAAUAACUACACUCAGCCGCUACUGAGAACUGGUGUCGACACCCGCACCUAGAAACCCAAACCCUCGAGCGACACCGAGACCCUAACAUCACUCCAGUAGCUUCUCAUCAAUGGAUCUCCUUCUCCUUUUCCUCCUAGGCCGAAUGAGACUUUCCCAUGGGACGUAUUGAGGCACCACAAUGUAAAAAAAAGCAUACAAGCAAUGAAUCUGUCCUUCUCUAAACUAGAUCCACCAAGAACAACCCUCAAAUUCUCCAAAAACACUAUAAAAGAAGGAUGAAUCUCACACUCUCUGAUCUUUCUCUCUAUUCUUUAGAAGCGACAAAUGAUUAAACAAUGAUGAAAACGGCGUCCUUUACCCCUAAGAUGACUUAGGUUUCCCCAACCCGAUCCCCUAUCGAACCAACGAUUUAAAAAUUUAACCGUCGAACCAAAAAUUAAUGGGUGUCGAUCGAUACCGCCCUAAAAAAAACACGAGGUUUACAAAAAGUGACUAAGAAGUUACCAUUUACCAAUGAAGCAAUAAAGUAAGUAAUUCCAUUCAAAGACGUACUAGUAUUUGAAUGUGUGUACCAGUUGAGAGAUGUAUACUCGAGAACCCUCCAUGAAUCAGAGUUAAAUCAGGAAAAACAGCCUAUUCCCCCGUGAACUUAGUUGUUUUAUUGUAUUCACACACAGAACUUUGAGUCGUGCUUAUAACAACACGAACACAGCUAAAAUUUGAAUUUCCUACAUGAACAAUGCAUAAACAAUCAAAAUCAACAAAUCGACAAACGGUGUUACUCUUCCGUUAACAAAUAUUUACUAGGAUGUCAUAUUAUGCCACGUAAUAUCACCAAGCGACGUCGGUUAUGUCAUUUUUUAAUAAACAAAAAAACAUAAGUCAUAAUAAUAAGAAUCCUAGUUUUGAACCCUGGGCAUUAUAACAAAAAUAACUCCACUUAACCAACUAACCCAACAACAAUUCUUUGUUAAUUAUGCAUUUGUAGUUAUAUAUAUCACAAUAAAUUUAAAGUAAUAAAGAUGUUUUCUCUCUCGUUGUUGUCUCUUAUCCAUUUUCCUUUAAUGUAUUUCUCCAUUUAUUAUAACAACGCAAUAAGUUCCAAGUUUCUCCCAUAUUUUACUGUUUCCAUUUUUUUGAUUUGAUUCAGUUCAACAGUUUUUUCUUUUGGAUCGAUUUCUUUAGAUUUUAUAGGCAGAUUCUGAAUCAUGUACAUUUUGGGUCUGAUGUUUUAAUUGAUAGAUUGAUUUGAAUUCGAUCAGAUUUUGGGUAAUAUCAUAGAAGAGGAUGGAGAAGAGAAAUUGUUCAUAAAAUAAUAUUUGCUAAAGUCAGUCUAUUUUCUUCAUUGUGAUUCAUGGAACUGAACUGUGUACAGCUAAAAAUGGACAAGCAAAAGAAAGAAGAGAAAAAGAGUUUAUUGUUAUUUUUGAUUUAUUUCGUUACCUAUAUAUAUUAAUUCUGUAGUGAAAUCCUGAAUUCGUAAUAUUUUUUUUCAUAAUUUUUUUUUUGUUUUUUAGAAGUAAGAUAAAGUGAUUUCGUUUUGUGGCAUGGUGUGGCAUCUUAAUCAGCAUUUGAAAACGGAACAGUAACACUGUUUGUCGAGUUGAUGGUUUUCAUUGAAUAUGAAUUGUUCAUGUAUGAAAUUCAAAUUGUUGUUAUAAGCACGACACAAAGUUCUGUAUAUGAAUACGAUAAAGCAACUAAGUUUAAGGGGGGGGGGGGAAUAGGUCGUUUUCCCUACAAAUCACCACAUGAUAUUUCCUUGUGUUUUGACCUCUAUCACACAGUUCCAACAAUCACUUUUCAGAAGGUCACCCAUCAUUUGACUACAACAGCAUAAACACGCUUAACUAUGGAGUUCUCUCAGGACCUUUGACCGAAAAAUAAGUGCAUUUUGGUGACAUAAGUGGUCAAAUCAAUUCAUUUAAACCUCUCGAGCAAACUGGGGUCUCACAAUUAAUUGAAAAGACCCACCCUUUUUUGUUUUACUAAUUAAAUUAGACUAAACCAAUAAAUCCAAUUAAACCAAUCUAAUUCCAAUUACCAACUGAUCCAGCGGAAGAAAAAACCAAAAACCAAUCCAACAAACCUAUAUCAUGAAACCAACCAAUAUCCAUCAAUUAUCUAAAUAAACCAUAAUGCAUAGCGGAAACAACAAAACCAACCCUAAUUAAUCAUAAUAAUUAUUAACCAAUCAUUUCAUCUCCACAAUUUAUACAGCAUAACAUAACCAUAAACACAACAAACGAAACCCAAGAUCAUCCUCCUCAUCAUGAUUCCACGUCACACUUUACCUGCACCACAAAUACAAUAAUAUGUGUGAGUAUUAUCACAAAUACUCAGUGAAGUGAUCCUCCCAUCUGUUGUGUUAUACACACAAGAAAUUAAGGUCAUGAUCACACAUCAAUAAUACUAAAAACAGCCAACCUAGCCAAAUUAAAACACAAAUUGAGCUCACAGAAAACUUGUGUCGACCGACACCACCACCCGACGGUGCCACAAAACUGCACUACGAACAACCGUCUAGUGUUGGUAACCCUAUAUUUUUAUACUCUUAAGCAUAUGUUUUGUGCAUUAUUUGCCUGACUAUGUCUCUAAUUCUUAGGGUUUCUAGUCCCUUUGCAUUAUAUUUCGCAUCUAGGAUCUUUAGCAUAGGGAUUUGCAUAUCAUCUGCAUUUUAGAGCAAAAACCGGUACACUCGGACACUGCAAAGCAUGGACCCGAUCGAGUGUGUGCAGCCCGACCAAGCGAGCACGAUUGAGCACCCGGACUCACAAGAGGAAGCUGAACACGGACGAGCCGAGAGAGGACCCGAACGAGCCCAACAAGCACCCGACCGAGCUCUCUUUAAACCGAUUUUGUAAUUUGUCUUUUUGUGUUUUAGGGCUUCAUGCCCUUAGUAUAAAUAGACCCCUUGGGUCAUUAAGCUAAAAACGAGUUUUCAUUAGGGUUUUUCUCUGUAGCCACCAAACAUUUCCAGAAACUUGUAAUCUUUAUAUCUUUUGAUCUACUGAGAAUUUGGAGUUGUUUCUUUACAAUAACUUGCUCCUUAGAUCAUUAUCUAUCUAGUUAUGCAAGAUUCAAAGAUUUCUGGGUUUGUGUUCUUCAUGAUGAACUCCAGAUCUGAGUAGUCUUUCUAGGGUUUAUAGGAUGGGUUAGGUGAUGAGGAAUCUUAGUUUCUAGGGUUGCUUAAGUAUAGAUUUAGGUAGAUACCUUAUGGAUUAGGAGAUCUUAAUGCUAUCUUAGCAUUAACCAUGUGGGAUUAGAUCUUAGACAUUCCAGCACUCAAAAAGUGUUCAAAUGGAAUGUCUGACCAACUAAUGCCAGAGAUCUAUUUACUUACCCAAGAGAUUGGUUGUUAAGGAGUAGAUUGACAUUACUGAGCUUGUUCUUUAUGCCUAUUUAUAGUAUGUUUCAUCAAUGAAAGUUGAGAUUAGGAAGUGCUAUAGAUCUGAUAAUCUUUGCCAAGAGAUUGGACUGAUUAGGUUAAGUGGUUCAUUGUCUAGGAUUAGAUCUAUCUGAGCAUGUUAAGCAUCCCAAAGAUACUAAGAGGAUUCAUCACCCCAUUAGCCCAUCCUUAAGACCCUUUGUUUAUCUGAUUGAUUAUCUGCUUUUACUUACUGCUUUCAUUAUUGCUUCUUUAAGUUUACUUUAUUGCAUUAGAGUUUAUUAAACCAACCCUUGAAUUACUUGGCUUGACUUGAUUAGAUCUGUUAUAUCUUGAUUGUUUACGAUACAUCCAUCUGGAUCGAUACCUCUUAUGCUACAUCGCAAAGGGGAAUUGAACUCCAAGGUUACAAAAAUACAUGUUUCAAGUGUCCAUCAACACGUUUUUGGUAUCGAUCGACACCUACAACCCUGGAACAUAUCUAACGACGAUCUCAUCACCAGAAAAUCCUAAAAUCAUCUCCCACGCCAGCACAGCCACACUGGGUCACACAAACACUAGAAACAUAAAACAACAAUGAACAUCAAUUAAACACAAAUUACACAAUCUUAAUGCUUAGAUAAGCCAUGGUCACACACACCUUAAUAUGGAACGAACAAUGACGAAAACAACACAAUCAGAAGCCUUACAAAAACCCAAAACAAUCAAAAACCUUACAAAAACCCUUUUUAUUUACAAAAACCCUUUUCACUCUUUGGAAUGUCAAAAGCGGCUAAAAACACAUUCCAAAGUUGACUCUCCUCUUUUAUUUCCGAUCCCUAGGGUUAACGAACCCAUACCAAAUAGAUUUCGAAAAAUAAAACAAACUGGUUAAACAAAAAAAUGUUGAUCGACACCACCCAUUUUCCCCAAACACGGGUGUGACAGUGAAUAUGUUCUUUCUCAAUAAAGUAGAUCGUACAUAUUUCAGAGAUGUAGUGUCGACCCUAGAAAGUAUUUCUUCUACUAAUACCUCCGGAAGAUCAAACAUUAUCGUUAUUGUUUCCCUUGUGAUCUCUUUUCGAAUACGAAAACAACUCAAAAGAAAUGUAAGUUUUGAUUAGGGUUAACCCAUGACAUGAACACUUCUUUAGUUUGUGUUUGCUACUAAUAAUUGGCAAUCUAAAAACCGGAGAACCCAUAAAAAUCUCGCUAUUAACCCGAGACCAGGUGAACCGAUUGAAUCGGCCGAGUUACGGUUCACAAAAAGUUAUUUGAUUUUUGAAGUAUAGUAUAUAAUUAUAGUUAUUUUUGGAAGUUAUUUUUAAAUUUUUUAAUUAUAGGUAUAUUGUCUCUCUUUGAUGAUAAUGGCAUUGAGUAGUUCUCGGAGGGUUCGAAAGGUGAAGUGGCAGUUGUAUACUUCCGUAAAAUGUUCUCUACUUCUAACCCAAAUGGUAUUGGUGAAGCUUUGGCCGGGCUGAAUGCGCGUGUUACUGAUGAUAUGAAUAGAGAACUAAUACGGCCAGUAACGGAUAGUGAGAUCAAGAAUGCCGUUGUUAGUAUUAAAGGAGACCGUACUCCUGGAGCACAUGGCAUGUCUGCUCAUUUUAUCAAUCUUAUUGGGACAUUGUUGGACCUUAGGUUGUUAAGGAGGUUAAACAAAAAAUUUUCAAUCGGGUACAUUUCCAGUGGAAUGGAAUUGUAUUCAGAUUUGCUUGAUCCCAAGGAAACAAAACCCCUCAAGAAUGACAGAUUUAAGGCAAAUUAGUUUGUGCUCGGUGAUACACAAGAUUUUUUCGAAGGGUUUAUGCCAACGGUUGAAGAGGUUUCUCCCAAGGAUUAUAUCUGAUACACAAGGUGCUUUUGUGUUCAGAUGGCUUAUCUAGGAUAACAUGUUGUUGGCUCAUGAGCUGGUUCAUGCUCUAAACUCAAAAUGUUAACUUUGAUGAAGAGUUCAAAGCUAUCAAACCGGAUAUGUCUAAAGCGUAUGAUCAGGUAGAAUAGAAUUUCCUUGAAGAACUACUGAUCUGCCUAGGCUUUGACAUAAAAUGGGUUCAAUGGAUAAUGGUUUGUGUGAACACUGUGUCGUUCUUUGUUUUAAUCAAUGGAAUGGAUUAUAGGUUCAUUAAACCAGAACGUGGAAUACAACAAGGAGAUCCAUUGUUACCAUUUCUAUUCACUCUCUGUGCGGAAGAAUUAGUCCAUGUGAUGAAUUGAGCUGAUCAAGAAGGGAGGCUUACGGCUAUGCGCCUAACACCGAAAUGCCCAUCUAUUCAACACCUCCUCUCUGCCGAUGAUUGUCUCUUUUUAUGUCUCAAAGAAUGAGGUAAAUUUUUGUAUUUUCUAGAGGUAUAUGGUAUCAGGCCAAGUGAUUAAUUUUCAAAAGUCGUGUAUCACUUUUGGGAAAAAGAUGGAUCCUUACAUGAGAAGGAUAAUAAGUUCUUUCACUGGGAUAGAACAAGUUAGAGGUUCUGGGAAGUAUCUUGGGUUACCGGAAUACUUCACUGGAUCUAAGAGAGAGCUGUUAGCUUCCCUUAACGACCGUUUGGACUCAAGAUUGAAAGGCUGGUAUGAGAAGACACUUUCUCGGGGUGGGAAGCCGGUUUUAUUAAAUUCAGUUGCAUUAUCAAUGCCGAUUUAUGCUAUGACGUGCUUUAAACUAACUAAGCACCAAUUUAAGAAGCUCACAAGUGCUAUGGCUAGUUUUUGGUGGAACGCAACAGAAGAUAAACAGAAAAUGCACUGGGUAGCAUGGGAGAAAGUUUGUAAGCUGAAAUCACAAGGAGGGUGGGGAUUCCGGGAUAUUGGCCGCUUUAAUCAAGCCCUACUUGCUAAGCAAGCUUGGCGGUUAUUAGACUCUCCUAACUCGCUUCUAGAUAGAGUGUAUAAGUCUCGUUAUUUUCCUCCAACAGGCUUGAUAGAAGUUGUAAUCGGAACUAGACCAUCUUAUGCUUGGCGCAGUAUCAUGUUUGGUCGUGAACUGUUUGACAAAGGACUCAUGAAGACGAUUUGUGAUGGCUGUUCUACAAGGGUUUUGCUAGAUAAAUGGGUUUUUGAUGAGCAACCAAGACGGCCAAUGAAUAAGAAUAGACUAUAUGAGCUGAAUCUUCUUGUCUCCGCCUUUAUAAGACCACAAGGGGACUGGAAUAUCAGGUCUUCCUUUACCGAGUCAUGGGUUUAUGGCUGCCACUGAGGAGAAUAUUGAUUACAUGUUAAAUCUUGUAUUCCGAGCAGAUUUGGCUCCUCAAAUGCGUCAUGUCAUCCCUUGGAUCUUUUGGGAGAUUUGGAAAGGAAGAAAUGCAGCCAUUUUCACUGGUAAAGCGCCACAUUAUAAUAUUGUUCUAGCAGGUGCUUUGUCGGAUAUGGAGGAGUGGAUGUGCCAGCAGAGUUUGCAGGAUCUUGAAGCAUGGCGAUGCAUUGAUUCUUCUCCUUUGCGGACACGGCGAUGGAGUAGACCAGCUAAGAAUAUGUUAAAAUAUAAUAUCCAUGCUUCUUGGAGAAGCCUAUCAUCUUUUUGUGGUGGAGCUUGGUUACUUUGCGAUUCUAAUGGGGAUGUCUUGUUUCAUGCUCGUGAUUAGGCCUGGGCAAAAUACCCGAACCCGAAUACCCGAACCGAACCCGACCUGUAAUACCCGAACCCGUUUUACUUUGGUUCUUAAGAAAUACCCGAUCCGUUUUUAUUCUCAAUACCCAAUAGGUAUCGGGUAUUACCUGAACCGAACCCGCAUACCCGUGGGUACUUUUAAGUACUCGAACACAUUAUGUAAUAUUAGGUUUCCUUACCUGUAAUAGCCUGUUGAACUUCCCAUUUUUUACCCGAUUUUAAUACCGAGUCUCAAACUGGAUCGACAAAACCUACCUCCGCUGCUAGCCUCCUCUCUAGGUUCUCUUUGUUUAGAGACAUCUAGAGUUCAAUCAACUGUAAGUUUCAUUCUCCUCCUUAGUACUGGUUUGAUUUCGAUGAGUGCUUCCUUCUUUUGCAUAUCUCUAUUAAUCGAAUCAAAAGUAACUAUAUUUGUAUUGCUAUUUCGAUUUCUUACUUGUAUUGUUAUUUUGAUUUCUUACUUGGAAACAUUAGUGAUUGAAAAUUGAAUUUAUGCAUCACUGUUUCAGUUUCAGAAUGGAUUUAACCAUGAAAACACAAAUUCUUGUUAUCUCUGCAAAAGAAUCCACAAUUGGUUUGAACCUGCAAUUUUUUUAUUUUGGAAAAAAUUUGCAGCCUUGUUAGCAUCGAGACUUAAUAUCUCUUGCUAUUAUUUUUGCAAACCAAAAAUAUUAUUUUGAAUUUAGCAUCAUGACCUACAGUCUUUUGUUCAUGCAAAACAUGUAAUAUUAUUUUUGCAAAUCAAAGUAAUGUACAAUACUUGUGGUCUCUUUGCUUUAAGUCACGUAAUCGUAAUCGUAAAGCAUAAUCAUAACUCUAGCACUAUGACAUAGAGACUUGAGUGUCUACGUAGUUAUUCUUUGCAAAUUGGAUUAAUAUGAACCUGUAAUUUUGUAAUUCACAUCUGUAUGUUUUUUUAUUUUUGAUUCACAUCUGCUUUUUGAAAUGUUGUAGAUGGAUUCUUUAGAAAAUCCAGAAGUCAAUGAUGAUAACACUCAAGGAGGUGAGAAAUUUAAAGGGAAGAGGAAAGAAGCUCCAUGAGAUAAUGAUGGUAGUGAUAAAGUAAAGAAGACAUAUGCUCAAAGGUCAUGGGUGUGGAAUCAUUUCACGAGACAAGUGAAGGAUCCAGAUAUGGGAGAUUGUCACCACUGUAAGAGAUCCUUUGUAUGUCCAACUAAAAAAGGGACCUCAAACUUGAAGAAGCAUUUGGAGAUCUGUAAGCCGUACAAGGCAUGGGCUGAACGUGAAACUGAAACUGUUAUUAAUCAAGAUGGAAUGUUGCAGGAUGCAAGAGUAACAGAGAGUGUCUCUAGAGAUGCUUCAAAUGAAUUGCUUGUUUUGGCUGGUUUGCCACUUGCAUUUAUUGAGUGCAUGGCAUAGAGACAGUUAUGCAGCAGAUGUAAUCUAUUCAAGCCUCAUUCAAGAAGAACAGCUACUAGAGAUAUAGUUCAGAUGUAUGUCGCAAGGAAAGCUUCUUUGAAGGAGUGGAUAUCUUCUCAGCAGCAUCGAGUGUCUCUUACUACUGACAUAUGGACUGCUAAUGUUACAAAAGCUAGCUACAUGGUGAUCACUGUGCAUUUUGUAGAUGCAGAUUGGCGCUUAAGGAAGUUGAUACUUGGAUUUAAGCACAUCACGGAUCAUAAGAGCAACAUGAUAUCAAAGGUUUUACUUGACUGUCUAGCAGAAUGGGGCAUAGAGAAGUUAUUCACCAUCACAGUUGACAAUGCAACUGCCAACAGUAUUGGACUAAAGAAGUUCAUUGAUGAGUUUAAGUUACUGAGGCAUGAUUCUUUAGUGUUAGGUGGGUAUUACAUGCACAUGAGGUGUUGUGCUCAUAUAAUCAACUUGAUUGUCCAGGAUGGUUUGACUAAAUUGGGUCGUAAUAUAACUGUUGUUCGCAAUGGAGUGCAGUAUGUGAGGUUUUCGACUUCGAGAUGUGACACAUUUGAGCUAAAGGUUGUGUCAGGUAAGAUGACUAGGGGAGUUUGCCUAUGGAUACCAAGACAAGGUGGAGUUCAACAUACUUGAUGUUAACAAGAGCCAUGAAGUUUAAGUUGGCAUUCCAGAAGAUGGAGGAUGAAGACAAGUUAUACAAUGACUACUUCAUGGAAUUAAAAAAUGGGGCGAAGCAAAAAGGACCGCCUACUUACAGUAAUUGGAGGGCGAUAGAGAGGUUUGUGAAGUUUCUUGGUUUAUUCUAUACUGCUACUUUGGUUGUCUCAGCUUCAACCAAGGGUUGUUCAUACAAGUGUUAUGGUGAAAUUGUCACUAUAGAGAAGAAUUUGACAAAUAUGAGCACUAGUUAUGACAAAGAACUAAGCAAAAUGCAUGUUGAGAUGAGAGAGAAGUUUAGUAAAUACUGGGAAGGGAUCAAGAAUAUUAACAAGAUGCUGAUUGUUGCUAGUGUGUUUGACCCGAGACAGAAAAUGCAGUUUGCUACGAUGUGCUUUGAGAAACUCUAUGGUAAAGAUAGUAAAGACGCUAAGGAUAUGUGCACAUCUGUUUUAAACCUCAUGAAGGAUAUGCUCGUGGAGUACACUUACUACAACAAAGGAUCAAGCACACAAUCAUCUCAAUCAAAUCCAUCUUCUAGUACUGCACAAGAUCAAUUUAUAUUUGAUUCACUUUCGAGCGACAUUGCAGAAGAUGUUGUCCCUGAGUUUGAAAGGAUGGACGACGCUUACAGUGACUUGGUAUCAAGUAAAGGAGGUGGUGAGAUGAAGGAUGAAUUAGAUAUUUAUCUCAAGUAUGAAACAGAGACUCCUAAAACUCUUCCUGGAAGUGAAUGGGAUGUUCUAUCUUGGUGGAGACUCAAUAGUCAGAAGUUCCCUAUUUUAUCUAAAAUUGCAAAGGAUUUUCUUGCAAUGCAAGUUUCGUCUGUUGCAUCUGAAGAGGCGUUCAACAAUAGUGGUCGUAUCCUUUCCGCGUAUAGGAGUUGUUUAAGUCACUACAUAGUGGAGGUGUUAAUUUGCACUAAGCAGUGGAUAAAACAAGAUAUGAAGAUUAAUGAUAAGGAUUGUCACUCUAACUCACAAAUACUUGCUGAUAUUGAACUGUUUGAUAAUCUUCAAAGAGGUAAGUUCUAGUGUUUAAUAUUUCUGGUUAACUUUGAAGUUGUUUGCUUUUUUUUUGAAAAAUCUUUGUUGUUGUUUUUUUGUAGAGUUUCUAAAUGAAAACAACCAGUAAAAGAAGACUCAUCAAGAACCAUCAUACUUCUUUUUUUUGGUAAGAGAGGGGAGGCUAUUAAACAGAAACUGGAAAAAAAAAUUACACUCUAACCCGACGUGGGUACGCAGACCCAUUAACAUCGUCCAACAAAUUCGAAUUCAGCUCACUCGGGCAAGUACUUAAACUGUGAAAACCAAACGGCAAAGAAAAGGCAUGGUUAGCUAAACCAUCGGUAAGACGGUUAGCCUCCCUAUAAACAUGAGAAAAACGCACUGACCAGUCCCUUGAAAUGAAGCCAUAGCACAAACGUACUAGGAAGGAAAGCGGAUGCGUAUCACAAAUCACUUUCCUUAAGUAUCCUACCACCAUCUCCGAAUCAAUCUCCACCUCCACACAAGCGACCUGCCUAUCCCAAGCAAUACAUAGGCCAUAAUACACUCCCCAAAGCUCUGCUAAAGGCGCUGAAAAUAUCCCAAUAUUAAGAGCAAAUCCGAAGCACCAAUUGCCAUCUCCAUCCCUGAGAACCCCACCAGUAGUUGCUAAUCCCGGAUUCCCUCUAGACGCACCAUCCGUGUUCGGUUUCAUCCAUCCUAUAGAUGGCAACGUCCAUGCGAUGAGUCUCUCAACCCGCAUAUUGGUAUCCGAUUGAAUGCGCUAACCAUGCCUCUCUAGCCAUAUCUUUAACAAACUGAACUCUAUCUCUGUAUUUCCUGUUUUCCCCAAAAACAUUACCGCACCUUCACUUCCAACCCCACCAAACUGUCACAGCAAAUAGAGUUGCCCAUUUAAUGUUCCCCACAACCUUCCUGCUUCCCAAGUUAUGAAAACCCCAUUCCAGAAGAGACUGUGAAAAGAAAUCCGGCUUAUCCCGUAAAGGAACCAGUCGCUGCCAAACUCCCAUCAUUGCCGGACAGUCCCUUAAAAUGUGUAUUAUCGUUUCCUCACCCCCUUUACAAAUGGAGCAUAUCCAUGUAUCGCUUAAAUGCCGUCGAUAUCUCUCCAUGUUCGUCAUAAUAGCUUGAUUAGCUACCAGCCAUAAGAAGCAACACACCUGUUCCGGUGCGAUCACAGCCCAAAGUCUUGUAUAGAACUUAUCCAACUGAACUCGCGUGGCAUGGUCCUUAGUUAGCAGCGCAUAGGCUGAUUUACCAAGAAUGACCCGUCGGCACUCCCUGUCCAUGAUAAUCUAUCUUUAGUGCCUGUAAACACGUCAAUCACUACAGUCGCAAGAUGUAAAUGACCAAAUCCAGAGAGAAAAGGCAGAAUACGGCUGAGAUCCCAUUCUAUACCAAUCCUCCAAACCUUAGCAGCUUUAAUAAUUUUAUAACCAAGAGGUAAAGUCCCUGUAGCAUACUCUUCGAGUGGUCUAUCCAAAACCCAUUUAUCUUUCCAGAACCUAAUCUUCUGACCAUCUCCAAUUACCCAACCGAUACCUAAGGGAAUCGCUUCCCUCAUCCCCACUACUAUACUCCGCCAAGUUGAAGACCAAGUUCCUUUCACAGUCAACCAGAGACGAUCAUGAGCAUCUCCUACUUUAUAUUUCCCUCGAAGAACCCGAGCCUAAAGCCUGUCAUUAUCAUUCAACAACCGCCAUCCAACUUUUGCUAAAAGUGCUAUGUUCAUCUCUUUACUUAAUCUGAUACCCAGCCCCCCUUCCUGUUUGGGCUUACAGACUUUAUCCCAAGCCACAAGAUACUGCUUCUUCUUUACAUCCGUACUCCCCCACAGGAAACUCCUUGAAAUUAUGUCUAGAAGUUUCAGUGUUGCAGUUGGGAGCAUAAUCGUGGUCAUAGAAUUACUUUGCAAUGAAGAUAGUACUGCCUUGGUAAGCGUAAGGCGCCCCGCAAAGCUUAAGAAUCUCCCUUUCCAACCCGAUAACCUUGAAUUCACUCUCUCCACAAUUUCUCCGAACGUCUCUUUAUUGAUUCUUUUAUGCAGUACAAGCAUCCCCAAUAAUUACCAAGCUCUUUAGUCGCUUUAAUCCCACUCUCGACACUGAUUAAAGUUUCCAACUCUCUACUCACAUUAUUAGAGAAGAAGAUUUUGGAAUUAUCCAAACUAACCUUCUGACCCGAAGCUGCGCAAAACGUCUCAGGUACUCUCCUAAUGAUACGAACCUGAGCCACGGACGCCUCAGCAAAGAGAAUGGGAUCAUCAGCAAAACACAUAUGUGACAGAUGCGGUCCUCUCUUUGACAGCUUAAUUGGUUUCCAUUCCUUAGACGCUAUGGACAACUCAAUUUGGUGACAUAGCCUUUCAAUGCAGAGCACGAAAAGAUAUGGUGACAGUGGAUCACCUUGUCUCAGUCCCCUAGCCUGUCUAAACGCCUCAGUCUUUUGCCCAUUCCAUAAAAGACUCAUAGAAGGCCCCGACACACACCUCAUUAUUCAAUUUAUCCAACUCUCUGGUAGUCCCGCAGCAAUUAGGGUGUCCUCAAGAAAAUCCCACCUAACACGAUCAUAGGCUUUCUCCAAAUCAAGUUUCAAGAGCAUCCAACCUUUCUUCCCUUUCUUCCUCCUCAUGGAGUGAACUGCCUCUUGAACAAUGAUGACAUUAUCCGUGCUCAACCAUCCGGGGAUAAAGCUAGUUUGAGCUGGCCCUAUCAGUUUAGUGAUCACCUUAUUUAACCGCACCACCAUAGUUUUAGUAAUAGUCUUAAACAAGACAUUACAUAAACUUAUCGGUCUAAACUGUGUAAUUCUCUCUGGCUUCAAAACUUUAGGGAUUAGAACCACAAGAGCAUCAUUAGAUCCAUUCGGCAGCAUACCCGUCUCAAAAAAAUCCAGCACAAAACGAGUAACAGACUCUCCAACAACGUCCCAACAUUGUUGAUAAAAAAUUGGCUGAAAACCAUCAGGCCCUGGAGCUUUAAACUUACCCAUACUCCGAACAGCACUUUCCACUUCUACUACUAGAAAAGGUCUGAGUAGCUCUGUUAUCGCAGGUUGACUCAGUAUAGGGAACCCCACAUGUGAAAGCUUCAGCGGUACCUGCUGUACAUCCUCCAUGGAGUAUAAACGAGUGAAGUACUCGACUGCGAACUUCUUCAAUUGCGCUGAGUUAGAAACCCAUCUCUCAUCAUUGUCUCUUAACAUCUCAAUUAUAUUCCUCCUCCUCCGAAUGACUGUGGUUGUAUGAAAGUACUUGGUGUUUCUAUCACCCAAAGCAAUGAUCUCCUCUCUUGAUUUCUGGAACCAAAUAAUUUCCUCUUGUUCUAACACUCUAUCAAACUCCUUUAAUAGCUCAGCCUAUUGAUCUAACAAACCAUCUGUUUGAUCCCUCUCAAUUAAUUCUUGAACAGCUCUAAUACCUGAAAUGAGCUUCUCUUUACGACGUUGAACAUCCCCGAACACCUCCUUGUUCCAUCGCUUUAGCUUGAGUCUCAAAAUAUUCAAAGCCUCUGGUGUUCUCAACUCUCCAUUCCAAGAAGCUGCUAGAAUAUCUUGAAAACCAGUGUGAGUUAACCAUGCUGCCUCGAACCUGAACAGCCUCCUCGUCGGGUCUCCUUUCCCCUCAGGGCUGAGCUGAAGGUAAAGUGGUGCAUGAUCCGAUUCCAAGAACGGUAAAUGCGCCACUGCCGCCUCUUGCCAUUUGAGCCUUGCCUGAGCACAGCAGAGAAUUCGAUCCAGUCUCUUUGCCACGAAAGUAUUCACCACACGUCCUCUCUUCCAUGUAUACUUACUCCCCCGAAAGCCAAGAUCUAUUAACGCGAGUUCAUGAAUCCAUUCUCCAAAUGCUAUCGAAUCCGAAGACAGUCGACCUUUCCCACCUGUUCGUUCAUCAACCUGCACUAUAGUAUUAAAAUCCCCACCAAUAACCAAAGGGCCAUCAAGAUUGUUCACCGAAUCCUUAAGAAGGCUCCACAACCCACUUCGCCGGCUAACUGUUGGGGCAGCAUAGACAGCAACCAAAUGCAGAAUCUCCGAACCAUUCUCCACCCUUGCAUGAACAAACUGCUCUGAUGACUUCACAAUCGUCACGACUCCCACACUCGAUCUCCAGAGUAGCCAAAUACCACCGCUCUGGCCAUUCGCAUCCACACGAAAGGAAUUUUCAAAUCCCAAGCCUUGGCAAAUCUGCUGAGCAAGAUCACCUCCUGCGUGAGUAUCAAAUAACGCUAAAACAUCCGUCUUAUAUCGCUUCAAUAUGUAUCGAAUCGAUCGUCUGAAGUUGGGUUUGUUACCCCCCGGCCAUUCCAGAAUAAAGCAUUCAUCAUCAAAUUAAUCCAAUCGGUAAGAAUUCUCGGGGAAAGCCGUCAAAAACUGCGCGUCUCCGUCGACAAAUCCGCCAAUCCCGACGAAGGCUCAUGAACAACCAACAAUCCACCCAAAUCCAUCUCAGCCACAUCCACAUGUGAUAUAACUUUCUGCGCCAUCGAAACCAGACCCCCUCCUCCACCAUCUGUCGCAAAGGAGUCACCGGACCGACCAUCACUAUCACUGUCCAAUCGUAAUCUCUUUCCCGACAUUGACAUUUCAACUUCUCCUCUUAUUGGGCCAAAGAUCAAUCCUCUACCGGGCUUCCUGAUCUUCGACAAUUGCGGUUUGGGCCCAUUUGUAGCCAUACCCUUUUCGGCCCAGGCCCUUUCUCAUUAGGCCCUACCCGAUCCACUCCUUUCACCGUACUAGACAUUAUAAACCGCCCGAUUCCUUUUCUUGCACUGUACUCUUUUCCUCAACCGGUUUCACCACCAAACUCUCAUUUUCCUUAUCUCCAUCCAUACAAAUAUCUACUUUCCUUAUCGAGGAAGGAAUCGUAUCCUCCUUUAAAGUACCAAAACUAUUCGCAAUCACGAUAUCUCCGGAAACUUUCCUUCCCGUAAUAUCCCGAAGAUUCCGUCCCAGAUUUUCUUGGGGCCCCCCAGCGGCGGAGAGCUCCCGACGUGUUUGGGCUUCAUUCCUCCUCCCUAAUUUCCUCACCACCGUGAAACCAUCAUCCUCAUCUUUUUCCUUAGUAACAUUGAUAGGCAUAGCUUCAGUCACCACCAAUGCCACUCUAUCCUGCUCGAUCUUUGGGCACUUAUGAACCAUAUGCCCAAAUAUUCCACAUCGUGAACAGAUAACCGUGAGACCUUCAUAUGAAACAACAUAACGUUCACCAUUAAUCACCAUUGUCCCUUUCAACGGCAUACUCAAAUCCACCUCAACACAUAUUCUAGCAAAUCUAGCUCUAUCAAUAUUUAAGGUCGGUAUGUCCACUUUCAAUGGUCUUCCCAACCCCUCAGCUAUGCUCAGCAAGAUAGUCUCAUGGUAAAAGUUGACCGGAAUAUUCGUCAACCUAACCCAAACAGGAGUUGUUACAAUAUCAUCCUGCAACAGGAGCUUUCACCAUCAGAUAAAUCCUGAAAGCUCUCCAUGGACCACCUGUCAGUGCUGCCAAAUAUUCGUCCUCUACUUCAAACCGGAUCGUGAAGAAUUGACGUGGAAGAUCAGUAACAUACAUAGCCCCCCGGGGUUUCCACAACUCACGCAGCUUCCUGCUCAACACUGUGAUUGGAACAGUUCUACCCAGAACCUUCACAAUCAUGCACAGUUUCCACAAGCCAUUCAUCACCUCUAACACCUCCUCUUCAAUCGUUACCACCGGUUCACCCGCAGCUCCAUCUGGAAACUCAACCCUAACCCUUUUUCACAAAGUCCGCCGCUAAAACCCGCUUCGGACAAGCCAUCCCUCCACCAAAACUUUUCGUCACUUUCCUUACCCAAACACCAGCAGAAUCCGGCGGAUCUCCCGCUGGUUGACUCUUUUCACCGAUAUCCAUCAUAGUCGCAUCUCUCUCUCCCAUCUACGAAGCCUACGACCAAACUCAAGAACCAUCAUACUUGGUAAUAAGGUAACUUCAUCUCUGUCAUUGUUUUUAAAAAUUGUUUAAAAUUGUUUUUAGUUUUUAAAAGGUUUGGUUUUAUGUAACAUGUCAUGAUGUAUGGAUAAUCUUGGUUAAAUGUUGCCAUCUUGGGAUGAUUCUUCUUUCUUAGUUUCUUCCAUUUAUCAACUCAAAUAUUUUCAUAAUCACUUUCAUUAGUUUAAGACUUUAAGUUAUGCUUUUGUUAGUUUGGUUUCUUAUUUUGUCAAUGACUUGUUUGAUUUUAAUCUUUGGAAUGUUCAAAACUUGGUUAAAUUUGUUUACUAGUAAUAUAUUCUUUCAAAAAUUUGUUAGUUUUGACGAAUAGUUUCGGAUUUAUGGGUACUUUGGGUAAUUUUGGGUCGGAUUUUGGUAGGUACUACUCAUACCCAAAAUAUAUUUUGGGUAAUUUUCGGAUCUCUUAAAUUAUUACCCGAAGUACAUGUACCCGAAAAAGAACCGAACCAAACCUGACCCGAAGUUUUAUACGUACCUAUUAGGUUCCUAUAUUACUAACCUCGAAAUACCCGAACCCGAAAAACCGGACCCGAUGGUUACUAAAGUGGAUCAAGUUCGACGAGGCAUGAUGAAUAUUUCCUUCCAUGUCUCUUCUUUGCAGGCAAACUCGGUGGCGAGAGAGAUAGCGGACAGUGUCACGAGAGAUGGCCGGUUAACUUCUUACUUAUCAAUGGUAGGUGCGGCGUGGUUACAUCAAAGGAUUGAACGUGAUCGAGGAUAGUGUAUCUUUGUAUGGCUGUCUCUGUUUUUGCUCUUGUUUGAUGCUCUGUUUUUUUGUAACUUUUGAUUCACAUUAAUAAGAUAAAUGAAUGACAAUUAAAAAAAAAACGGCACACAAACAUGAUUAAAAUUAGGUUUUGUGAAUUUGUGAUGUUUUAUUACUGUGAAUUAAAAUUAACAUGCUAAGUUAUUUAAUAUUUGAUAAUUCAAAAUUUUAGCAACCAAACUUAUUCAAUAUCAAAUAAAUUGAAAUUUAACAUGCUAAAUUAUUCAAUAUUCGAUCAAUUAAUAUUUAUCUCCUAUCCAGAGGUCCGUGGGUGGAGUAGUGAGAGUUUUGUCUCUGACCACCGAAUGAUAAGUUAAUAUGCUAGCUUAUUCAAUAUUCGAUAAAUUGAAAUUUAGCAUGCUAAGUUAUUCAAUAAUCAAUCAAUUAACAUUUAUCUCCUAUUCGCAAGUCACUAUUGCAUGGAUUCCUUCUUCACAAAUCUAUCAUGUGUAUUGUUGUCUUUAUAUAUGUGCUAAAAGGAAAAUAUAUUACAUAUGUGGUAAGUGUGUGCUUAAAGGAAAGAAAAAAUUAUAAAAAUAUAUUUAAGGGUAUUGUUGUCUUAUAUAUGUGUACAUAUAAGAGAAACAGUGUGUUUGAGAGAGAACUAAAUAACUGGUCAACCAUGUAUGUUUUUUUUUCAAUUUCCCAUAUUAUUAUAUCCUUUCUUUUUAAUAAAUAAAGGGGUUUUAAAUCUAGGUUCGCACAUUCCCUCAAAUCCAAAUCAUAGCAUGUUAAAUGACAUUCAAACCGGAUUAUGAACCGAAGUAGAUACUGGGCUAACUUGGUUUGAUCACAUAUCAAUUAAUUAAAAGUUAUCAAUGUUCUUUUUUAUAGAUUAUAAAAUUUUAAAAAUAUAAACAUAAAUAAAAUCUUAUCAAAUUUACUUAAUUAUAAAGAUUAACAAUAAUAAUAAAGUGAUAAAAAUCCAGUAUAAUAACUAUAUGACCAUGUGCCUAUAAAUAUUAUUUGGAUAUUUACAUAUGUUAGCACAUAAUAUAAAACUUAUCACAAUAUUUGAUAGAGUUCAUGAGCAAAGAUGAUUUGUGAAAUGUUUUCUUAAUUCAUCAAUUGUAACAGACUAUACAAUGAGUGUAUAUAUACAACAAAUGAACUAAACCGGGAAUAAGUAAAACCGGAAUUUAAAUCUAAUUAACUUAACCAAAUACAUCAAACCAGCUACUUUAAUACCCCCCCCCCCUCAAGAUGGAGCAUAGUAAAUAUUGAGAACUCCCAUCUUGUUAAGGUUUUUCUCGAAAUGGAGCUGGAUGCAAUGCCUUGGUAAGAAUGUAUGCGAGUUGAUUGUCAGUGUUGACAAACAUAGUCUUGAUAACACCAGUUUCAAUAGCCUCUCUAACUUUGUGACAAUCCAACUCUAUAUGUUUUGUUCUCUCAUGGAAAAUAGAGUUACUUGCAAUGUGAAUAGCAGCAGUGUUAUCACAAUAUAAGUAAGUUGGAAGAAUGAAUGGUACCCGAAGAACUGUGAGAAUGUAUGUGUACCAAAUCAAUUCUUUAGUAGCCAUACUCAUAGCUCGAUACUCGGACUCUGCAGAACUCAUAGAAACAACCUGCUGUUUCUUCGACUUCCAUGAGACUAAAGAUUGGCAUCUAAAGAUUGCAAAACCAGUCACUGAUCUUCUACUAUCAGGACAUGCACCCCAAUCUGCAUCAGAGAAGCCUCUUACAGAUAAAUCAUCAUCUUUACCAUAAAAUAAACCUUGACCAAUGGUGCCCUUCAGAUAACGCAAAACCUUGUGACCAACUUUGAGAUGGAGAUUAGUUGGAGUAAUGUCUGGCCUUGUGACAACCAGAUAUUGUAACUUCCCAAUUAUUCUUCUGUAUUGUUUAAUAUCCACAAGUGGUUCACCAUCAGUUGAACACAGCUUCUGAUCAGGAUUCAUUGGAAUGGGAGAUAGCUUACAAUCUGAGAAACCAGUAGCCUCCAACAAGUCAAGAACAUACUUCCUCUGUGUAAGAGAGAUCCCUUCUCCAUUCCUGGUGAUUUCAAUACCCAAGAAGAACUUAAGAGGACAUAAAUAUCUUAACUAGAAACAUGAACUUAAAUGCUCUUUGAGAAGAUAGGCCAAUGCAUCAUCAGUACUGGCAAUAAGUAUGUCAUCGACAUAAACCAAAACCACCAAGAAAUGAUCACCAAAGACUUUAAUAAAGAGAGUGUGAUCACCAUGGCAGGUUUCAAACCCAAAACCCAAUAAUGUUGUCUUGAACUUGAGAAACCAUUGUCUUGAAGCUUGUUUCAAACCAUAGAUUGACUUAUGCAACCUACAAACUAUAUUGGGAGAAACUUCAACUCCUAUGAUUUCUACAUAACCUGGUGGCAACUUCAUGUAUAUUUCCUCAUCGAGGUCACCAUUCAAGAAUGCAUUAGAUAUGUCCAAUUGAUGUAAGGACCAUUACAUCUUAGGUGCAAGAGAAAGAAUCAUUUUCACAGUAGCCAUAUUUGCUACAUGUGAGAAUGUAUCAAUAAAAUAUAUUCACUCUUGCUGAGUAUACCCUUUAGCCACCAGUCGUGCCUUAAACCUUUCAAUACUCCCAUCUGCAUAAUAUUUAAUUGUGAAACCCAUUUGCAAUCUACAACAACUUUAUCAGGGGGUAAAUCACAAGCACUCCAAGUUUCAGUCCUUAUAAAAGCAUCAAUCUUCUUUCCCAUUGCAUCAACUCAAGCCUUGUCAUGCAUAGCUUAUGAAUAUUUAAUUGGUGUUGCAGUUUUGGUAAUGAUAUUAAUGAAAGCACAUAAAGGCUGAGAAAGAUUGGAAUAAGAAAUAUAGUUUGCUAAAGGAUAAGGAGAAGUUCUUUUUUGGCUUACUUAUAGUAGGAGUAUUAUUAUUAUAACAAUGAAAGUCCUGCAAAUGGGAAGGCAAUUUUCUCUGCCUAGUUGGUUUAGUUUCAGAAGGAACAAAAACCAGGGAUGAUGUCUCAUCAUGAUUGUCAGGAGCAUCAGAAGAUGAUUGCACUAAAGGCAAAUGUUCACCAGUGAUUUGUGCAGGAAGAGAAAAAUGAGGAAAGAAUGUAUUUACAUCAUCUGAGAUAUUAGAUGAUGCAAAAGGAAAGAUAUCCUCAUAGAAAAUGACAUCUCCAGAAAUAGAAUCUGAGGGAUAACCUAGAAAAAUACAAGCCUUAGCUGUAGGGUCAAACUUAAUUCUAGAUUUAGGAGAAGUAGAACAAUAACAUAAGCAACCGAAGGCUUUUAAACUAUGAUAAUCUGGGACUGUAGAGGUUAGUUUUUCAUAUGGAGAUUUAUUAUCUAUUACAGGAGAAGGUAACCUAUUAAUAAGAAAAGUUGAUGUUUAGACACAAUCACCCCAAUACUCUAAAGGAACCCAGACUGAAACAUAAGAGUCCUAGCUACAUUCAACAAGUGCUGAUGCUUUCUCUAUACAACUGAGUUUUGUUUAGGAGUUUCGGGACAAGAAUGAAAAGCCUUGAUUCCAUUUUUCAUAUAAAAAUCAGUAAAUUUCAAUUCAUGUGCAUAAUCAAAUCUCACAGAACAAAUUUUAGUGUUAUAUUGAGUUUCAACCAUUUUAAUAAAACCAGGAAACACUAGCAAAACAUCAGAUUUUUUAUUAAGCAUGUAUAACCAGGUUGCUCUACUAAAAACAUCAACAAUUGUUAAGAAAUAUCGAUAACCAUCAACAGUUGGAACAAAAAAUGGACCCCAUGUAUCUAUAUGAACCAAAUCAAAAGAUUUAGUACGCAUAUGAUUUGAUGAUUUAAAAGGCAAAUGUUUCUGUUUAGAUAAAUGACAAACAUGACAAUGAUUUUUAUUUUUAUUGAUAGUGGAUUUGGAUAAUAACAAUACAUCUUAAAGAGACUUUAUUUUAGCUAUAGCUGGAUGUCCUAACAUUUUAUGCCAUAUAUCUGAGUUUAGUUGUAAGACAUAACAGAUAGACUUACCAGAAAGAGAAGAAUGAGACACAUGAACAAGUGACUUAUCCAAAUUCAUGACAUAUAGAUUUGCAACUUGAUUACCGUUUCUAAUCAUUAGAUCCUGAGUAAGUGCAUGUAUCAUACAUUCAUUAGAAGUAAAAUUAACUUUAGAGUUCAAAGAUUUAGUGAUAACACUAACACUCAACAAGUUAAAUUUAAACUCAGGAAUAUGUAACACAUUAUGUAAAGACAAAGCAUCAGUAAGUUGAAUGUAACCAGUUCCCUCUAUCUUAAUUGUAUGCCCAUUAGGUAAUCUAACAAAAGUAUUAAAUAAGACUUUAUAAUCUCUAUAAAAACCCCUUUCAUGAUUAACAUGAUGACUAGCCCCUGAAUCUAUAACCCAAGCUCUAAUAGACAACUCAAUCUCAUGAUGUAUAGAGGAAGUUAACAUGUUAUAGAAAGUGAAGUCAUAUAAAAAGAGGUAAGUACCAGAUAUCUGUGAGAUAGAAGGUACAGAGGUUGAAGUCGGAGCUAUAGCCUUCUCAGGGCAAGAGGUGAUACUCGGGGACUGAAGCUUGGUGCUAAGAUAAGAGAUCAUCUGUUGAAGUUGGUCUUUAGUUAUAUCAUCAUUCACUAUAGCCACAGACUGAUCAGGCUGCUCUUCAAGCUACCAGUACUUGCCAAGUUAGUGCAACCAACAUAAUUGUUCUUCUUCGCUUUUGGAUGGCCAGAAGGAUAUCCAUGUAUCUAAUAACACUUAUCCACUAUGUGACUAAUGCGAGAACAAUGAGAACAUUUUGGUUUCUGAAAUUUGCCUUGUGCCAUCAAGAUUGAAUUCUGAUCCGGAAUCACAGCUUGAGAUUGAAAAGCUGAGGGAGUAUAGAUAGGUCUUAAAGACAUUCCCACAAGCCUCUGACUCUCAUCUUGAUCUAGCAUGUUAUAGAUCUCACUCAAUCCAGGCCUAGGUUUCAUGUUAAGUAUUGUUGCUCCUGAUUUUGUUGAAGUCAUCACUUAAACCCAUAAGGAACUGUAUGAUGCGACUUGUAUCUGCCUCUUCAAGUAACUCUUUCACAUGAUCACAGUCACACCUCUUCACACUACAAAUCUUUGUGUUAGACAACUGCUCCCACAAUGUCUUCUUCUUUGUGUAGUAAGUGGACAAAUCAAGUUGACCUUGUUUCAGAGCCGUCACAGCUUGUUCAAGUUGAUACCUCCUUGGAAAAUUGUUCACUUUGAAUCUAGCAAACAGAUCAUUCCACAUCUCAACAACAUCCUCAUAGUACAAGAUAUAUCAUAAAUCUCUUUGCUCACAACAAUAAGAAUCCAUGAUUUCACCAUGCUAUUACACCUACUCCAGAUCUUGAAAACAUAAUCACUUUCUGAUGGUGUAAGAAGUGAUCCGUCAAUGAAACUAAGCUUGUUCUUAGCAUCUAGACUAAUCAUCAUCGCUAUAGACCCGCUAUUGUAAUUAGUUCCAUCUAAGACAUGAGCAACAAUCGAUAAACAUGGGUGAUCGUAGGAUUGGAGAUUGAAUGGAUUAUUGUCGAACUCGUUAGAUUGUCGCGACAUUGAUCCAUAUCCAACCGAUCUCUAAGAACAUUGUUGUUUCACCAUAUCUACUUUUGGAUCUUCAAGAAUUGCAGAGCCGCGAGAUAACUUAGCUACGGAUGCUUCAAUUUAUGGUGUUUCGCUUCUACCUCUCAGUUUUCCUCUUUUCUUCACCAUUUUUGCCGAGAUCGAGGUUAACGAAGAACAAUCGAAGCUUCCAGAGACGAUUAAUCGGUGUGAAUUUGAAGAAUCUGAAGAAUUGAAGAUGAAAUCACAGAGAAAUGCGGAAGAACAGCUCUGAUACCAUGAUAGAGUUCAUGAGCAAAGACGAUUUGUGAAAUGUUUUCUUAUUUCGUCAAUCGUAACAAACUAUACAGUGAGUGCAUAUAUACAACAAAUGACCUAAACCGGGAAUAAGUAAACCGGAAUCUAAAUAAAAUUAACUUAACCAAAUACAUCAAACCAGCUACUCUAAUAUAUAUUUUUUUUGUCAACAAUAACUAUAGAAUUGGCUUAUAAAAACGAAUUAGGGGGACAAUCGUUCACAUACAGAACAGAGAGCGGCGUCGUACGGACAUUCCGUGCCAAGCUAUCCGUUUUGGUAUUAGCACUCCGAGAAAUAAGAGACAAAGAAAAGGUAGAAAAUUCCUCCUUGUCAACAGCUAUGUCAUCCAGAUAUGCAGAAAACGAUGGCGACUCAAGCGGGGAAGACACCAUCUUCACCAAAUCCGAGCAGUCUAUGAGGAAAGCCACAUCUCUGAAAUUGUGACCUAUCAUACAUCGCAUCGCCCACACCAAAGCUUCGACUUCUGAAUGCAAAGGUGAGAGACUCCGUCUACAAUUCUUGGCUCCCAUUGUAGUUGAUCCAUCCUCAGCGUUCCGGCAGAACCAUCCUAAGCCUGAAAAUUUAUCUGUGUCCUUCCAAGAACCAUCAACAAAACACCUAUAUCCUGUAAAGUAUCAAGGUAGCCGACAUCCCCGGGGUUGUAGCCGAGGGAUAUCUAAUGAAGGUUGCCGUUGAGUCUCCACUUCAUCGAGUUGGGCCUCUUGCCAAGACUUUGCCUCGUCUUUUGCAAUCCGAACCACAUCCAUCGGACUCUCAGUUCCAUUACUGAACACCUUUUCAUUUCUCGCCUUCCAUAUAUACCAUAAUAACCAGGGAUAGAAACUAUUCGACCCAUCCUCAAAGGGCAAACCGAAUAAAUAAUCCAUAUUAGUGUAUACCGAUGCUGUGGGAAAACUAUGCGGACCCACUGGAAUAUUCGCCAAUGCUACUCUAAUAAUAUUAUAGUUUUAGCAAGUAAAUAUAGAAUUAUUUUGUAGUGAAGAUUCUAUUAGCUCUUUAAAAGCGUUUGUAGAGUUAGUUUUGUUAUUUUCUGAGUGGACCAUGUUCCAGAACUAAUAAAUUAUGUAUCUUUUACCAAAAUCUAAAUUUUUGGUCUACCAUAUAUUAAAAUUAGUUCACUCUAAUAAUAAAAUAAAAGCUUACAACUAGGAGAAAAUGAUGUAUAUGUCUGAUGGGAAACGUGAAGCUGAAGGAACUUCUAGAAUUGUAUUCCUAUUUUCUAUCAGUGAAGGUGCUAGUGCAACGACAAAGAAGAGGAAAAUAGUGAGGAAGUUCCCUCUUGAAUUGUAUUCUUAUUUGCACUAUAUAUGUAUGUAUGUAUGUAUGUAUGUAUAUGUUUGUCAAUAUAUGUGACUCCGUAACAUUAUGAUACAAAAAUAUAUAUAUCAAAGAAUCUACGCAAAAAAAUAGUAGGUUGUCAUGCCAUCGUCUGACAUGUUCGAACUGUAAAGGCAUAACAAAGUGACAUACGAAAAUAAUAAAUGGGCCUUAAAAACCAGAAAAUAAUAAAUGGGCCUCUAACACUAUUUCAAAAAACGACACAAAGCUAUGGAUUGGGAUCUUAUAAAACAAUAAACAAACAUAAACAAACAUUAAGCUCUCACCGUCACGUUACAUCUAUCCCCACCGCUGAGACCGCCGCGAAAGGCCGUCUCCUCCGCUACCUCCAUAACCAAAUCUACCCUCAUCGAGGAGUAAGAUCCAAGCGUAAGAUCAACUGAACAGGAAGAAGAAGAAGAAGCAGAAGACAAUGGAUUAUCUCGGAAUCGACAUGAGCUGCGCGAUCGGAUCUCUCCGAAACGGUGAGUUCCCGGAGAAAGAUUGUCUUCUUCCUCUAAUUUCAAAGCUUCUCGGUUACUGCCUCGUCGCUGCUUCAAUCACCGUCAAGCUCCCUCAGGUGAGUAUAAUCCCAAACUCAAACCCUAACUCCAAAAUUGUGUUUGUUGCUUAUUGGUUUUUUGAUUUGUCAGAUUAUGAAAAUUGUGCAACAUAAAAGUGUACGAGGCUUAAGUAUUAUGGCAUUUGAGCUUGAAGUUGUUGGAUAUACAAUUUCACUUGCUUAUUGUUUGCAUAAAGGCCUUCCCUUUUCGGCUUUCGGCGAAAUGGCUUUUCUUUUGAUCCAAGGUUUAUAUGAUCAUACUUGAAUUGGAAAAUUGGUGUUAUUUGUUAUGGUUUCUGAUAUCAUCUUUGUUAUCUUUGCAGCUUUGAUCUUGGUUGCUUGUAUUUAUUAUUAUUCUCAACCAGUUCCUGUAACAACUUGGCUCAGGCCACUACUGUAUCCUCUCAGUUUUACCUAUGUUUGAUUUGAGACUCGGUUGUAUUAGGUUUUUCUUAAUUCUAAGCCGAUACAGAUAUUGUGCUGUCGCACCAACCGUGCUUGCUGGACAGAUUAAUCCUACGCUCUUUGAAGCUCUUUAUGUGAGGACAACAAACUCCUUAUUUUAUUCACUUAAGGGUUUGAGUUUGUGUGUGUGAGUGUGUGUGUGUGUGGAUACAUUUUGAGAGUAUGUUUUGUGUUGUAGGCUUCACAGCAUGCAAUAUUUCUCUUUGCAAGACUCCCUCAGAUAUGGAAGAACUUCAAUGUGAGUUUAUUUAUAAAUGCUCAGUUUUUCCUUAUCUUUUCCACUCUUCUUGUUUGACUAAGUAUGAACGGUGUUUUAAGAUUUAUAGCUUGUUGAUAAAUAUACGCCUUUAUGUUCCAUUGAUCGGUUUAUCAGUAACUGUCAUAGUAUAGUUUACCUUACAUCCUUUCCGGGAAGGGCAAAGAUUUUUUGUUUGUCUGAAUUGGGAAGGGCAAAGAUGCAUUUUUACACAUUAUGUUUCAAACGUUUGAUACAUGUAUUCUCCCAUAAAUAUUUCUAUAGAUUCUAUAGAAGUAUACUUUCAGAACUAUAUAUUUGCAUAAAUUUUGUAUGAAGUCUUCUGGCUACUGCGUAUGAUCCACAUUACUCUCUCUAUACAGAACAAAAGCACCGGAGAACUUAGUUUCUUAACUUUCUUCAUGAACUUUGCCGGGUCCAUAGGUAAAAACAGCUCCCUUAUUGCAUCUUCUAUUUCCAUUCGAUACGUAAUGUUUUCUUGUCUCGUAAUACUUCUUUGUUUUGUUUGCAGUGAGAGUUUUCACCAGCCUCCAGGAAAAGGCCCCCCUUAGCAGUAUCCUUCUCAGCUAAUAUUUGCUUUUUAUUAUGCUUGCUAUAAUCAUACAAACACAAUGCUUUUUAUAUGCUUAAAUCUGUCAUUUUCCUCAACCCUUCCAUAGUUCUUACGGGUUUUGCUCUUGGAGUCAUCACCAAUGGAAGUAUCCUGACUCAGAUUCUCUUGUAUUCAAAGCCUGCUGCAGCAAAGGAGAAGAAAGCCAAUUGAUAGGGUAGAAAGAUGUCCUUAAUCAAAUACUGUUGUUGAGACCCCCAAAAGAGACUAGUCAAUAUUGCAAUUACGGUCUUUUUUUCUUUUAAUACCUGUAUGCAAGGAUGUUCAAACUUAACCCAGCUACUGCAUUAUGUUAUAGGUUGACUGAUAGAUUCUUUCUUUUGUGUUGUGCUAAUAGCCAAAAUCUGAAACUACACAAGUUACAUUGAUGUCAUUGACCAAGAUCUAUAUCCGAUGUAAGUUUGUGUUUAGUCUAAGGCCAUACUAAAUAUGUUCUUGUGCGUUUAAACCAUCUGCAUCAUUUAGAUAUGUAUCAGAUUAACUGUGGCGACAUGAUGUGAAACACUUGCUUUUACAAACAGCUUGAGCAUUCUAAACAAUUGCUGAAUCAAUGUGACAACAACAUACAGGUGCUACACAAAUAAAAAACAUCUUUCAGAAUAAACUAAAAAGAAAGGUCAUACUCAGUUUCAAACAUGUAGAAGUUAAUUGUUUCCACAUCCUUUGAAUAAUCUUUAAUCCUGCUGGGAGCUACUACGAUUUCCCAACCUUGUCAGUGCAAAAGCAACGUUUCUCCAGCUCGAAAAUCCAAGUCUUGACCACCUGAUGCUACCAGAUGCAAUGCCCAGGGUUGGUAUUUGCAGUCUGGAUGGAGGUGAGUCAACUGCAACCUCUUGUGCUCCACCUUCACUGGCACUAGCCUCGGCAAUUGGUGUCUUGGGAGUAUCCAGAUUGACAAUAAGCAACGCUCUUCUUUUCCUUAAACGAUGAGCUCCUUCAUUGGUCACUCCUCUACACUUCUUAAUUUUCACCUUUACCAGAUUUGGGCAUCCGGCCCCUAACGCUUGGAUCCCAUCAUCAGUAAUGGGACAGUUCUUAACGCAAAGCUUCUUCAAUGCCAAACAUUUUUCAGCGAUACAACAUAGCUCGGUAUCACCUACAGUCUCACUUCCACACAAUGCCAAUCGCUCCAAGUUAAGACAAUUCGAGGCAAGUGCUUCCAAACUUAAGUUUGUAGGGUUCACACCAAUCAAAACCAACUCCUGCAAAUUCCAGCAAGAUUUAGCAACUACUAUAAGCCCGUCAUCACCGAUACGAUUUGUCUUCCAUCCAUCAAUGUGAAGCUUUCUUAAAAGUUUACACCCUUCAGCCACCAAAGCAAGGCCAAUAUUCGUACAAUCAGGAGUUUUAACAAGAUGCAAAAUCUCAACACCCGAACAUUUCGAUAACGCAAUUAGACCCAAAUCACUCAUCUGAAUCUUCUCUAAAUGUAUCUCAACAAUGGCAUUAACCUGAUUACCAACCGCCUGAAAAACCCGAUCCCAGUCCCCGGAACACCUAGAUAUCUUCAAAGUCCUAAGACCUUUCGCUCCGCUUAACAACGGAGCAAAACACUGACCAUUAUGCAACUCCUUUAAACAAACCAUCUUCAACGAACCCGUAGCUGCUCCGGGGCCUAUAAGCUCACUACCCGCAACAAUUCCACGCAAACGUUUCACCGACAAUUCCUCUAAACCUAAACAAUUAUCCAACAAACCAUUCAUCCCUUUAACCCCAAACCCACAAGAUCCAAAUGACACUUUCUUCAAACCCUUACAAUUCUUAGAGAAAUCAACAAUCCCUAAAUCCGAAAUCUCACGGCAACCACGGAGCUUUAACCGGGUCAGAUUCCGACACUUAACCGAAAUCAUAACGAAUCCUUCAUCGCAUAUACCAAGAGAUCUACGAUCACUUCUAAGAACCAACUUAGUAACCGAAUCAAACCGAGAAAAAAGUGAAGGAAUCACUGAGAUAAGAUCUGAUUGAGCUUUCAGAGAGAGACGAUGACGACACUGUCCUUCAAUCUCUAACCACCGACGGCAGACUAGUGAGCAACGUUUCCGGUCGGCGCAAGUUAGCGAUUGGAAAAUCAACGGUAAACACUCGUCUGGUAAGAUAGAAGUGUAAUCGUACGGUUCAUCUUCUUCGGCUUCAUUGGGUAGUAACGGAGAAGUGAAGUUACUUUUAGAUCGCCGGAAUGUGGAAGUUGAUUGGCCCAUUCGACGGUGAUGUGGUUCACAGUGUUCCCGCCUACCUCCGGUUUUGGAUAAAUGUCGCAAACAAUUUUGUUUUUUUUUUUCAAGGUUCCAUAAUUUUGUUUUUUUCUUAAGGAUUUGGAGCAGUAGAAUAAGUAGGUCGUCGGUUAUAAACCGAAUCGAACCAAAGAUGUGACGGUUUAGGUACUGUACCGGGUAAUAGGAAUGGAUCAAUCAGUAGUUUACUGAAAUGAUAAAAAUGCAUUAUCGAAAUUUAUAAUUGAUAAAUGUAAAGAUGAUAAAAAAAGAAUAAAAAAAAUUACGAGAUGUCAUUCCGUAUCAUAUUUAAUGACGUCUCGUAAGGGUUUGAAAUAUAUGAAUAGUAAUAUCUGUUGUGAUACAGAAAUUACUUUUACUGUCAUUGCAAAGAAAAAAACCUUUGCCUUUUUUUUUUGUCAUCUGAAUAUAUUUAUAAAAGCAAAGAUACAUUUUGAGGUUACAAAAGUCGGUGGAAAAACUACAAAUUCCCGGAAACCAAACCCCACAAAGGGGAGCAAAUGUCCAAAAGAGGAAAGCAUAAGCCGGCGAACGACAGAAAUGUUCCCAGAGUCACACAGCCGGAGGAAAACGAAAUAUUCCCAGAAAUUAAGCCCAAUGGAAAAGAGACAUGAAAAUACAAGGCAAAUAUUUCAAGCAGAUAGGCAAAGGACGAAACCAUAAACUAUGACAGGAGCACUAGGCUAAAACCUUAAGCGGAAAGAAAGACUAAAGAACACAAGGAAACACUUCUUCUGAAGCACCUGCGGAUGAGAUUUAUUUAGGAUGCCCUCGGCCAAUCCUAAAAUAACAUCUACCUCCUCCUAUCACGACGAGAGCUGCUCUCUCGAAACCAAGAACCAGACUUCAGAACCCG